GCCUGCCUGCAGCGCGGGGCGGCUCCUAUUGUUCAUUUAGAAGGCUGCAGCUGUUAUUCAUCUAUCCAAUAAAACUGAGUCUGUACGCUUCCUCAGUGGGUAAAGCAAGUUGUUCACGGUGCACCCUUUACUCAAUAAUGACCAGUGAUUUUUGUUAUGAUCAGCCGUUAUGUAUUCAGUUACUCAAGUCAUUCGAUGAUCGCUGAGCGACUUGAUUGCACCGUGUAGUUCUUCUAUGUUUUUCUUUUAUGAGAGGGAUCUAUAGUUCUGUGUGAUGCUGGCUCGGUUACUCUAAGCAACGAUUCUACCUGACUGAUCUAAAACCAGCUGGAUUUAGUUGCCAAUUGGGGCAGAGUACGGUAUUUGCAUUGAGAGGAAUUAGCCAUCAUCCAGAGCUGUGGAGGAAUUGAGAGUGCGUGUGAGUAAGUAGUAGAUAAGCAAGAGCUCAGCUGUAGUGACAGUAAUGGCAUCUCUAGCUAAUCCCUCAAAAGUUAUACUCUAGGAAGAUUUUUUUUCAUUCGAGGAAUUAAGCACUAGCUAGCCGAUCCCUCGAACUUUUAAUUCCUCAAAAGUACAACUUCUCAUCCCUCAAAAUCCACACCUCUAGCUCAUUUUUCUCUAACAAGGGCAGUUAGCAAAUUUUUAGGCAGCUUGCUCACCCCUCUUGGCCUUGCGUUGCUGUCGCCGGAAUCCGUCCGCGCCACUCCUGCAACCCCACCAGCCUCACCCACCUUCUCCUGGCUGGUAUCGCCGUCGACGUGCAAAGCUUCACCCCGUCGCCGCCGAGCCGCCAUUUGGGCGUGAAUGGAGCCGUCGGAGUAUGGAUCCCGUGCAUGGAAUCCCGCACACGAGCGGACGAGCCUACACCGGUCGACGGUGCUGGAAUGGGGACUUCUUUACCGCUGACGUAGCCCAGCUCCCCAUCGGAUCGGCCAUGAGCUCCACGCUGUGGCUUACGCAAACCAUGCCCGGCGAAUCAUGGAGCUCAACAAGGCCUACGUCAUAUCCGCCCAUAGAUCAUACCACCACCGGCGGUGAAGCUCCCACAAUUCUAGCGCGCCCAUCUGCUUGUGUUGACCAUGGAAGUAAGGUAUAACACAAACCCCUGCAUGUUUGCAAAUUGGCAUUCUUGCUCACAAUAUUACACGCACGCACGCACGCACGCAGAAAGGAGUCUCUUGCAACGCAUAGGUAUGAGUCAAUCUCUUAAAGCUUUACAUAAGCCAGAUGCUUGACCACUGGUAUUGAUCAGAGAGAAGCUAACGACGCGUUUGGUUCGGCCAAUCUGUAGCGGUUUCCGACUCCCGCGCUUUCGGAAACGGUAAAUGGUGUUUGUUUCACACAACGUCCUCGGUAACCCCGUUUCCUGAUACGCCGCUUCAGAGAGUCGAGCUGAUUAGGAAACCGGGCCCAACCGCACGAACCAGAGCUCGUAUCUCGUAAAAAGAGAUCGAAACCAGAGCUUCCCGAUACCCAAGCCCGUUACGUUAGCUGGCCGUGAACCAAACGCGUCGUAAGUGAUGAGCUGAUAGGCGCACACAAGAAGCAAGUGCAGAUCAACGAGGAGCGAGUAAAAACUAAUGAGAUGCAAGCCCAAAUCAAUGAGAUGUAAGCCUAGAUAUGGGAAUUUAAGAAGUUUCACUUUGCACUCCUAGUUGUUGUUAUAAUUUGGUCCAUAUUUACUGGGUCAGCAGUAGCAGUUCUUCCUGUGGGAGUCAUUGAAGUGACAAUGUUCUUACUUUUAGGCAAUUUGGCUAGAGAACUAUUGUGUUCUUUGUAAUAUACUAAUAUGUACCCAGAUCAGCUCCAACAGCAAUAGUUCUUACUUACAACAUUGAAUUUAAUAUAUAUCCUAUAUCAAGUUUUAAAUUAACUAGGAAAAUGGCCCGUGCGUUGCAACGGGAUAAAAAUUAUGUUAAAAGCUACACCGUGCCUUGGUUCCAGAGAAUUGGCUGUCACAUGCCUUUUAAUCCCACACGGAGGUAGUAUUUGAGAGAAUUGAUCAAACUGCAAUGGUAAUAAAUAGGCCCAUGGUUGGAACAGCAGAAAAAAUUGACACGUAUUCAAUUUUUUUUAGAAUUGUAUGUGCAUCAACAUUCCGCACAUGUCAUAUUUUGUUAUUUGCUUUGCCCGUCAUUUAUUGUUAGGCCGAAAGUAAUUCAACAUGCAAGUGCAUGUUAAUCCAAGGGCGCUACCAAUUAUUAUUGCAUGCAGAUCAGAAUGUAAAUUCGGUGCCAACAACAUACACCUUUGUCGAUUCUGCUCUCAUUUGGCCGGUAUCUUUCCUUCCUCCUUGUUGUGGAGUGCACCCGAUCUGAUUCUAAUAAUCCUCCCCUGCUCCUUUGCGUGGUUCGUUUGGUCAGCAUGGUCGACGCGUGUGAAGUCUGGUGGCUUCGUGUGACAUCCCCAGCAGUGCUUAGCGACGCGUGCACAAACCCUUCUGGUGUGCUUACACAUGGUCUAUUUUUAUCCUUUGUAAAAGCCUGAAUCUCCAUCUUGUUUUCAGUUUAUCUUGCACAAAGCAAGUCUCCCAGAUACCACGCGCCCGAGCGGCGAGAGCGCUCCGCCAGGGAUCUGAAGCAGCAGUUGAGCAGCGGGACCUCGCCGGUGAGCCAGCUCCUCUGCGGUUCUCCCUCUCCUUCUACCCUCGUUUCCUCUCUCUCAUCACCCUCUCUUUUCUCUCUCAAACAGGACGCAGCAGCUCCACCACAACAAUGGCGCCGCCCUCGUGGAACAUGGAAGCAGCGGCUCACUCUUGCGGCGGCGACGUGUCCUUCCAGUGCUCCCCCUUGCGGCCUCCCCGGACUUGGUCUUCGCUUGGUGUUGGCGGACAAACGAGCAGGGACAUCUCCCGCACUGGCCUCCCCCGUAUGUGCGCAGCUGGCUGCUCCCUCGAGUCCAGCAGUGGUCGCGAGGCGAUGCGAGCAGCAGCUCAGACGCACGCAGUGCCUCCCUGUCAGCCCGAGACGCCGCCCGAGCGGGAGGCACCGGCGGACUGGAGAGGCGAGCAGCAGCACGCCCCAGCAGCAGCACCGGGUGGCAGCAGCAUCACGCCCAGGACAGGGGCGCACGGCAGGUGCGGCGCGACGAGGCUGUAGUUAGGGGGGGCAACAGUUCUCGGCCGCAUCCAUGCGCGGCCGCCGUGGCGUGCUCCUACUCGUGCGGCUGGUCCAUGGCCGUCGACGCAUGGCAGGGUAGGGGCGGCAGCAGUUCUAGGCCACAACCAUGGCCGACGGCGCGCGGCAGGGCGGCAUGCUCCUACUGGCGCGGCCGAUGCGGGCGAGAGAAGAGAGGAAUCGGGAGAGGUGCUCACGGGCGGCGCAACUCAUCUCCUCUGUGACCAAGGGGCUCGCUGGGGCGGCGGGGAAGGCCGGCUGCAGGGCAAAUCGGUAGAGGGCGCCGAGGGGAUCCGUUCUCAUGAGCGGCAUCCCGGGGAAGGCGCUAGAGUUGGCCGGAAUCGGGCGGUCAAUGGAAGGACGGGUUGUCGCCGCCAUUGAAGCAAGGGGAUCGAAGGUUGAGGAGGUCCUCUAUCUAGGAUCUAGGACCAGCGCGGACGUAACAACGACGCUCCCAAGCUCGGGCGCACCACUGCAGGGCGGAGGGCCGACGAGGGCCAGGCGGCGACAGUAACGCCGGGGAGGGCAUGAGUGAGUCCUGCGCCGCCGCGGCUGGAGAGGGAGUGUCUGACUAACAUAGAGGAAAGGAGCUCGGGUUGAAUUCUAAUAAAUCCAGGGGUUAAUUUGUGAAACCGAAUCGUUUUGUAGAUUUCAUUUAAAGAGGGAGUACGGUUACAAUUUUCAGAAAAUAGGAGGGUUUUUUUGCAAAACAGCCACAACGACGGACGACAGAAACCUAAUUUUCUUUAUUAUUAUUAGGUAAAGAAAAGAUAUGUUACCAAAAUAUAUCUUCAAACCAUUUCACUCGUUUCCAGGAGCACCCAAUGCUAGGGUUUCUUGUGCUUCCCGCCAUAGAUGUCGCCAGCUUGCCUCGUCUUCUGUGGUCUUAGUGCCAUUGAGGUGAUGUGGAUCCCGACCCUUAUUGGUGGGAGGGCUCUGCUUUUGGAUGUCUUCCAAAUUAUGUUAGGGUUUGUGUCUUGCUCAGAGAGGCGAGACGGCGGUGGCUCUCUGGAGCGCCUAGCCAUCAUCCUGACGGUGCUUCUAGCAUCAUCGAAGGGCGUGUGAAGGUUCUGACGGAUCUCGCAGGAUUCGAUCAACAUUUGUCUUUGGUGGAUCCACAUGGAUCCAGUCUUCAUUCGUCUGUGUUUGUGUGUCUACAUGUUGGAUACUUUCGAUCUACGGUUCUCUUCAUCGACGGAGCUUGUUGUUCCGGCCCGAUGGUCCUAUAGGGACUUAGCACGACAACUUCCCGACUGUUUACUACAACAAGUUUGCCUGACUUCGGUGAGGGAGGGGUAAUGACAACGGUCCGUCUUCGGCUCGCUUUAGUGCUUGCAGUUGUCGCUAGAUGGUCUACAGACCUGAAUGUAAAUUUUACUUCUAGUCUUUGUACUAUCUUGACAGUUGAUAAAUAUAUCGUAAGUUUUUUUAAAAAAAAAAUCUUCAAAUAAAUUUUUUGUGCAAACAUUUGAAAAAAAACAAAAGAUUCUCUUUUGGUAUUAAAUUUUGAGGGAUCGCCAAGAUGGACAAAAGUCUGUUGAAAAAAAGGAAUUAACGGAUAAGACGAGAAUUCUUUUUCUUUUAAAAAAACCCGAAACUUUAUUCAUUGGAGAUAAAUAGUACACCGUUUGUGAGGGUCAUUAUAAUUUCAUUUAAAGGUUCCUCAAACCAAACAGAAGUCAAAGAACCGGACUUGGCAAAUCUGCUGCUCAAACGCCCGCGGACGCGUCCGAGCACGCUCGCAGGCGCAUCCGCGGCCCCUCAUAUUUUCUUCUGUGCAUCCACAUAUCUCAAAUCCGGACUUCUAAAUCCAUGCAAAUACAUGCACGUCGAUCAUGCACCGCAAUGUCGCAUGUAAAUAACAAAUGUUGGUAUCAAGCAUACAUAGUGUUUACAUAAAUUUAUUUGAAGUGCCAAACUCAAGCAUUGCCUCCUUGGUUGCCAUUGUGGAUCCACAUGUGUGUUGGGAAACAUAGUAAUUUCAAAAUUUUCCUACGCACACUCAAGAUCAUGGUGAUGCAUAGCAACGAGAAGGGAGAGUGUUGUCCACGUACCCUCGUAGACCGAAAGCGAAAGCGUUAUGACAACGCGGUUGAUAUAGUCGUACAUCUUCACGAUCGACCGAUCCUAAUACCGAAAGUACGGCACCUCCGCGAUCUGCACAUGUUCAGCUCGGUGACAUCCCAUGAACUCAGGAUCCAGUAGAGUGUCGAGGGGGAGCUUCGUCAGCAUGACGGUGAUGAUGAAGCUACCGGCGCAGAGUUUCGCCUAAGCACUACGACGAUACGACUGAGGUGGAUUAUGGUGGAGGGGGGCACCGCACACGGCUAAGAGAUCAAUGAUCAACUUGUGUCUAUGGGGUGCCCCCCUCCCCCGUAUAUAAAGGAGUGGAGGAGGGGGAGAGGGCCGGCCUCCUAGGCGCGCCCAAGGGGGGAGUCCUACUCCCGGUGGGAGUAGGAUUCUGUUGGGGAACAUAAUAAUUUCAAAAACUUUCCUACGCACACGCAAGAUCAUGGUGAUGCAUAGCAAUGAGAGAGGAGAGUGUUGUCUACGUACCCUCGUAGACCGUAAGUGGAAGCGUUAUGACAACGAGGUUGAUGUAGUCGUAUGUCUUCACGAUCGACCGAUCCUAGUACCGGAAGUACGACACCUCCGCGAUCUGCACACGUUCGGCUCGGUGACGUCCCACGAACUCACGAUCCAGCAGAGUAUCGGGGAAGAGCUUCGUCAGCAUGACGGCGUGAUGAUGGUGAUGAUGAAGCUACCGGCGUAGGGCUUCGCCUAAGCACCAAUGAUAUGAUCGAGGUGGAUUAUGGUGGAGGGGGGCACUGCACAUGGCUAAGAACAAUGUCUGUUGUGUGUUCUAGGGUGCCCCCUGCCCCCGUAUAUAAAGGAGCAAGGGGGGAGGCUGGCUGGCCUAGGGCGCGCGAAGGAGAGGGGGGAGUCCUCCUAGUAGGAGUAGGACUACCCCUUUCCUAGUCCAACUAGGAAGGGGGAAGGGGAAAGGAAGGAGAGGGAGAGAGGGAGGAAAGAGGGGGCGCCCCCUCCUUGUCCAAUUCGGACUCCCAAGGGGAGGGGGCGGCCAGCCCAUGGCUCCCUCCUUUCUCUCUCGCAAGGCCCAUGUUGGCCCAUUAGUUCCCCCGGGGUUCCGAUAACCCUCCGGCACUCCGAUAAUUAUUCGGUGACCCCCGUAACAUUUCCGGUGUCUGAAUAUAGUCAUCCAAUAUAUCAAUCUUUAAGUCUCGACCAUUUCAAGACUUCUCGUCAUGUUCGUGAUCACAUUCGGGACUCCGAACUAUCUUCGGUACAUCAAAACACAUAAACUCAUAAUAUCGAUCAUGACCGAACGUUAAGCGUGCGGACCCUACGGGUUCGAGAACUAUGUAGACAUGACCGAGACACGUCUCCGGUCAAUAACCAAUAGCGGAACCUGGAUGUUCAUAUUGGCUCCCACAUAUUCUACGAAGAUCUUUAUCGGUCAAACCGCAUAACAACAUACGUUGUUCCCUUUAUUAUCGUAUGUUACUUGCCCGAGAUUCGAUAGUCGGUAUCUCAAUACCUAGUUCAAUCUCGUUACUGGCAAGUCUAUUUACUCGUUCCAUAAUGCAUCAUCCCGCAACUAACUCAUUAGCCACAUUGCUUGCAAGGCUUAUAGUGAUGUGCAUUACCGAGAGGGCCCAGAGAUACCUCUCCGACAAUCGGAGUGACAAAUCAUAAUCUCGAUCUAUGCCAACUCAACAAGUACCAUCGGAGACACCUGUAGAGCACCUUUAUAAUCACCCAGUUACGUUGUGACGUUUGGUAGCACACGAAGUGUUCCUCCGGUAUUCGGGAGUUGCAUAAUCUCAUAGUCAUAGGAACAUGUAUAAGUCAUGAAGAAAGCAAUAGCAAUAUACUAAACGAUCAAGUGCUAAGCUAACGGAAUGGGUCAAGUCAAUCACAUCAUUCUCUAAUGAUGUGAUCCCGUUAAUCAAAUGACAACUCAUGUCUAUGGCAACGAAACUUAACCAUCUUUGAUUCAACGAGCUAGUCAAGUAGAGGCAUACUAGUGACACUCUUUUUGUCUAUGUAUUCACACAUGUACUAAGUUUCCGGUUAAUACAAUUCUAGCAUGAAUAAUAAACAUUUAUCAUGAUAUAAGAAAAUAUAAAUAACAACUUUAUUAUUGCCUCUAGGGCAUAUUUCCUUUAGUCUCCCACUUGCACUAGAGUCAAUAAUCUUGAUUAUACAGUAAUGAUUCUAACACCCAUAGAGUCUUUGUGCUGAUCAUGUUUUGCUCGUGAGAGAGGCUUAGUCAACGGGUCUGCAACAUUCAGAUCCGUAUGUAUCUUGCAAAUCUCUAUGUCUCCCUCCUUGACUUGAUCACGGAUGGAAUUGAAGCGUCUCUUGAUGUGCUUGGUUCUCUUGUGAAAUUUGGAUUCCUUUGCCAAGGCAAUUGCACCAGUCACAAAAGAUUUUCAUUGGACCUGAUGCACUAGGUAUGACACCUAGGUCGGAUAUGAACUCCUUCAUCCAGACUCCUUCAUUUGCCGCUUCCAAAGAAGCUAUGUACUCUGCUUCACACGUAAUCCCGCCACAAUGCUUUGUUUAGAACAGCACCAACUAACAGCUCCACCAUUCAAUAUAAAUACGUAUCCGGUUUGUGACUUAGAGUCAUCCGGAUCAGUGUCAAAGCUUUCAUCGAUGUAACCAUUGCUCUUUAUCACCUCCAUAAACGAGAAACAUAUCCUUAGUCCUUUUUAGGUAUUUCAGGAUGUUUAGACCGUUGUCUAGUGAUCCACUCCUGGAUUACUUUGGUACCUCCCUGCUAAAUUGAUAGCAAGGCACAACAACAUUGCAUACAUGAUAGAGCCUAUGGCUGAAGCAUAGGGAACACCUUUCAUUUUCUCUCUAUCUUGUGCAGUGGUCGGGCAUUGAGUCUGACUCAACUUCACACCUUGUAACACACGCAAGAACCCUUUCUUUGCUUGAUCCAUUUUGAACUUCUUCAAAACUUUAUCAAGGUAUGUGCUUUGUGAAAGUCCAAUUAAGCGUCUCGAUCUAUCUCUAUAGAUCUUGAUGCCCAAUAUAUAAGCAGCUUCACCGAGGUCUUUCAUUGAAAAACUCUUGUUCAAGUAUCCUUUUAUGCUAUCCAGAAAUUCUAUAUCAUUUCCAAUCAGCAAUAUGUCAUCCACAUAUAAUAUUCGAAAUGCUAAAGAGCUCCCACUCACUUUCUUGUAAAUACAGGCUUCUCCAAAAGUUUAUAUAAAACCAUAUGCUUUGAUCACACUAUUAAAACGUUUAUUCCAACUCCGAGAUGCUUGCACCAGUCCAUAAAUGGAUCGUUAGAGCUUGCACACUUUGUUAGCAUCCUUUGGAUCGAUAAAACCUUCAGGUGGCAUCAUAUACAACUCUUCUUUCAUAAAUCCAUUCAGGAAUGCAGUCUUCAUAAUCAUAAAAUGCAGCAAUUGCUAACAUGAUUCGGACGAACUUAAGCAUCGCUACGGGUGAGAAGGUCUCAUCGUAGUCAACUCCUUGAACUUGUCGAAAACCUUUCACAACAAGUUGAGCUUUGUAGACAGUAACAUUACCGUUAGCGUCAGUCUUCUUCUUGAAGAUCCAUUUAUGCUCGAUGGCUUGCCGAUCAUCGGGCAAGUCAACCAAAGUCCACACUUUGUUCUCAUACAUGGACCCCAUCUCAGAUUUCAUGACCUCAAGCCAUUUCGUAGAAUCUGGGCUCAUCAUUGCUUCCUCAUAGUUCGUAGGUUCAUCAUGGUCAAGUAACAUGACCUCCAGAACAGGAUUACGUACCACUCUGGUACGGAUCUUACUCUGGUUGACCUACGAGGUUCGGUAGUAACUUGAUCUGAAGUUACAUGAUCAUCAUCAUUAGCUUCCUCACUAAUUGGUGUAGGAGUCACAGGAACAAAUUUCUGUGAUGAACUACUUUCCAAUAAGGGAGCAGGUAUAGUUACCUCAUCAAGUUCUGCCUUCCUCCCACUCACUUCUUUGGAGAGAAACUCCUUCUCUAGAAAGAAUCCAUUCUUAGCAACGAAUGUCUUGCCUUCGGAUCUGUGAUAGAAGGUGUACCCAACAGUCUCCUUUUGGUAUCCUAUGAAGACACAUUUCUCCGAUUUGGGUUCGAGCUUACCAGGUUGAAGCUUUUUCACAUAAGCAUCGCAACCCCAAACUUUAAGAAACGACAACUUUGGUUUCUUGCCAAACCACAGUUCAUAAGGUGUCAUCUCAACGGAUUUAGAUGGUGCCCUAUUUAACGUGAAUGCAGCCGUCUCUAAAGCAUAACCUCAAAACGAUAGCGGUAAAUCAGUAAGAGACAUCAUAGAUCGCACCAUAUCUAGUAAAGUAUGAUUACGACAUUCGGACACACCAUUACGUUGUGGUGUUCCGGGUGGCGUGAGUUGCGAAACUAUUCCGCAUUGUUUCAAAUGAAGACCAAAGUCGUAACUCAAAUAUUCUCCUCCACGAUCAGAUCGUAGAAACUUUAUUUUCUUGUUACGAUGAUUUUCCACUUCAUUCUGAAAUUCUUUGAACUUUUCAAAUGUUUCAGACUUAUGCUUCAUCAAGUAGAUAUACCCAUAUCUGCUCAAAUCAUCUGUGAAGGUGAGAAAAUAACAAUACCCGCCGCGAGCCUCAACAUUCAUCGGACCAAAUACAUCAGUAUGCAUGAUUUCCAACAAAUCUGUUGCUCGCUCCAUUGUUCUGGAGAACGGAGUUUUAGUCAUCUUGCCCAUGAGGCAUGGUUCGCAAGUACCAAGUGAUUCAAAAUCAAGUGAUUCCAAAAGUCCAUCAGAAUGGAGUUUCUUCAUGCGCUUUACACCAAUAUGACCCAAACGACAGUGCCACAAAUAAGUUGCACUAUCAUUAUCAACUCUGCAUCUUUUGGCUUCAAUAUUAUGAAUAUGUGUAUCACUACUAUCGAGAUUCAAUAAAAAUAGACCACUCUUCAAGGGUGCAUGACCAUAAAAGAUAUUACACAUAUCAAUAGAACAACCAUUAUUCUGUGAUUUAAAUGAAUAACCGUCUCGCAUCAAACAAGAUCCAUAUAUAAUGUCCAUGCUCAACGCUGACACCAAAUAACAAUUAUUCAGGUCUAAAACUAAUCCCGAAGGUAGAUGUAGAGGUAGUGUGCCGACCGCGAUCAUAUCGACUUUGGAACCAUUUCCCACACGCAUCGUCGCCUCGUCCUUAGCCAAUCUUCGCUUAAUCCGUAGUCCCUGUUUCGAGUUGCAAAUAUUAGCAACAGAACCAGUAUCAAAUACCCAGGUGCUAGUGCGAGCAUUCACAUCAAUAACAUGUAUAUCACAUAUACCUUUGUUCACGUUGCCAUCCUUCUUAUCCGCCAAAUACUUGGGGCGGUUCCGCUUCCAGUGACCACUCCCUUUGCAGUAAAAGCACUCAGUCUCAAGCUUAGGUCCAGACUUGGGCUUCUUCACUUGAGAAGCAACUUGCUUGCUGUUCUUCUUGAAGUUCCCCUUCUUCCCUUUACCCUUUUUUCUUGAAACUGGUGGUUUUGUUGACCAUCAACACUUGAUGCUCCUUCUUGAUUUCAACCUCCGCAGCCUUUAGCAUUGCGAAGAUCUCGGGAAUUGUCUUAUCCAUCCCUUGCAUGUUAUAGUUCAUCACGAAGCUCUUGUAGCUUGGUGGCAGUGAUUGAAGAAUUCUGUCAAUGACACUAUCAUCGGGAAGAUUAACUCCUAGUUGAAUCAAGUGAUUGUUAUACCCAUACAUUUUCAGUAUAUGCUCAGUGACAGAACUUUCUCCUCCAUCUUGCAGCUCUGGAACUUAUUGGAGACUUCAUAUCUCUCAAUCCGGGCAUUUGCUUGAAAUAUUAACUUCAACUCCUAGAACAUCUCAUAUGCUCCAUGACGUUCAAAACGUCGUUGAGGUCCCGGUUCUAAGCCGUAAAGCAUGGCACACUGAACUAUCGAGUAGUCAUCAGCUUUUCUUUGUCAGACGUUCAUAACAUCUCGUGUUGCUCCUGCAGCGGGUUUGGCACCUCUUCCAAGACGUAAUUCUUCUAUGCAGCAAUGAGGAUAAUUCUCAAGUUACGGACCCAGUCCGUGUAGUUGCUACCAUUAUCUUUCAACUUAGCUUUCUCUAGGAACGCAUUAAAAUUCAACGGAACAACAUCACGGGCCAUCUAUCUACAACAACAUAGACAUGCAAAAUACUAUCAGGUACUAAGUUCAUGAUAAAUUAAAGUUCAAUUAAUCAUAUUACUAAAGAACUCCCACUUAGAUAGACAUCCCUCUAAUCAUCUAAGUGAUCACGUGAUCCAUAUCAAUUAAACCAUGUCCGAUCAUCACGUGAGAUGGAGUUGUUUUCAAUGGUGAACAUCACUACGUAGAUCAUAUCUACUAUAUGAUUCAUGCUCGACCUUUCGGUCUCAGUGUUCCGAGGCCAUAUCUGCAUAUGCUAGGCUCGUCAAGUUUAACCCGAGUAUUCUGUGUGUGCAAAACUGGCUUGCACCCGUUGUAUGUGAAUGUAGAGCUUAUCACACCCGAUCAUCACAUGGUGUCUCGGCACGACAAACUUUUGCAACGGUGCAUACUCAGGGAGAACACUUGUACCUUGAAAUUUAGUGAGAGAUCAUCUUAUAGUGCUACCAUCAAACUAAGCAAAAUAAGAUGCAUAAAGGAUAAACAUCACAUGCAAUCAAUAUAAGUGAUAUGAUAUGGCCAUCAUCAUCUUGUGCCUUUGAUCUCCAUAUCCAAAGCACCGUCAUGAUCACCAUCUUCACCGGCGCGACACCUUGAUCUCCAUCGUAGCAUCGUUGUCGUCUCGCCAACUAUUGCUUCUACGACUAUCGCUACCGCUUAGUGAUAAAGUAAAGCAAUUACAUGGCGACUGCAUUUCAUACAAUAAAGCGACAACCAUAUGGCUCCUGCCAGUUGCCGAUAACUUUGUUACAAAACAUGAUCAUCUCAUACAAUAAAAUUUAGCAUCAUGUAUUGACCAUAUCACAUCACAACAUGCCCUGCAAAAACAAGUUAGACAUCCUCUACUUUGUUGUUGCAAGUUUUAUGUGGCUGCUAUGGGCUGAGCAAGAACCGUUCUUACCUACGCAUCAAAAACAUAACGAUUUUUCGUCAAAUAUGUGUUGUUUUAACCUUCAACAAGGACCGGACGUAGCCAUACUCGAUUCAACUAAAGUUGGAGAAACUGACACCCGCCAGCAACCUGUGUGCGAAGCACGUCGGUAGAACCAGUCCCGCGUAAGCGUACGCGUAAUGUUGGUCCAGGCCGCUUCAUCCAACAAUACCGCCGAAUCAAAGUAUGACAUUCUGGUAAGCAGUAUGACUAUUAUCGCCCACAACUCACUUGUGUUCUACUCGUGCAUAUAACAUCUACGCAUAAACCUGACUCUGAUACCAUUGUUGGGGAACGUAUUAAUUUUGAAAUUUUCCUACGCACACUCAAGAUCAUGGUGAUGCAUAGCAACGAGAAGGGAGAGUGUUGUCCACAUAACCUCGUAGACCGAAAGCAGAAGCGUUAUGACAACGCGGUUGAUGUAGUCGUAUGUCUUCACGAUCGACCGAUCCUAGUACAGAAAGUACGGCACCUCCGCGAUCCGCACACGUUCAGCUCGGUGACGUCCCACGAACUCACGAUCCAGUAGAGUGUCGAUGGAGAGCUUCGUCAGCAUGACGGCGUGAUGACGGUGAUGAUGAAGCUACCGGCGCAGGGCUUUGCCUAAGCACUACGACGAUAUGACCGAGGUGGAUUAUGGUGGAGGGGGGCACCGCACACGGUUAAGAGAUCAAUGAUCAACUUGUGUCUAUGGGGUGCCCCCCUCCCCCGUAUAUAAAGGAGUGGAGGGGGGGAGGGGGAGAGGGCCGGCCUCCUAGGCGCGCCCAAGGGGGGAGUCCUACUCCCGAUGGGAGUAGGAUUCCCCCUUCCCUAGUUGGAGUAGGAGAGGGAAGGAAAGGGGGGCCGGGCCCCCUCCCAAUUCGGAUUGGGCUUGGGGGGGGGGGGCGCCCCCACCUUGGCCUCCUCCUCCUCCUUUCCACUAUGGCCCAUUAAGUCCCAUAGACUCUCCGGGGGGUCCGGUAACCCCCCAGUACUCUGGUAUAUGCCCGAACUCUCUCGAAACCUUUCUGAUGUCCAAACAUAGUCAUCCAAUAUAUCGAUCUUUAUCUCUCGACCAUUUCGAGACUCCUCGUCAUGUCCGUGAUCAUAUCCGGUACUCUGAACUACCUUUGGUACAUCAAAACACAUAAACUCAUAAUACCGAUCGUCACUGAACGUUAAGUGUGCGGACCCUACGGGUUCAAGAACUAUGUAGACAUGACCGAGACACGUCUCCGGUCAAUAACCAAUAGCGGAACCUGAAUGCUCAUAUUGGCUCCCACAUAUUCUACGAAGAUCUUCAUCGGUCAAACCGCAUAACAACAUACGUUGUUCCCUUUGUCAUCGGUAUGUUACUUGCCCUAGAUUCGAUCGUCGGUAUCUCAAUACCUAGUUCAAUCUCGUUACCGGCAAGUCUCUUUACUCGUUCCGUAAUUCAUCAUCCCGCAACUAACUCAUUUGUCACAUUGCUUGCAAGGCUUAUAGUGAUGUGCAUUACCGAGAGGGCCCAGAGAUACCUCUCCUACAAUCGGAGUGACAAAUCAUAAUCUUGAUCUAUGCCAACUCAACAAAUACCAUCGGAGACACCUGUAGAGCAUCUUUAUAAUCACCGAGUUACGUUGUGACGUUUGGUAGCACACAAAGUGUUCCUCCGGUAUUCGGGAGUUGCAUAAUCUCAUAGUCAUAGGAACAUGUAUAAGUCAUGAAGAAAGCAAUAGCAAUAUACUAAACGAUCAAGUGCUAAGCUAACGGAAUGGGUCAAGUCAAUCACAUCAUUCUCUAAUGAUGUGAUCCCGUUAAUCAAAUGACAACUCAUGUCUAUGGCUAGGAAGCUUUACCAUCUUUGAUUCAACGAGCUAGUCAAGUAGAGGCAUACUAGUGACACUCUGUUUGUCUAUGUAUUCACACAUGUACUAAGUUUCCGGUUAAUACAAUUCUAGCAUGAGUAAUAAACAUUUAUCAUGAUAUAAGGAAAUAUAAAUAACAACUUUAUUAUUGCCUCUAGGGCAUAUUUCCUUGAAUGUGCUCCACAAGAUCAUCGAGUAGUUGCGUGUGCACCUGCUGAUUUCGAAGAUUUUGAUGCAUCUGCAGAAAGUUCAUAAGCCGAGCCGCAUCUUGAUCUUCUGGAAUUUCAACUUCUUCUCUGGGUGCUUAGAAAUCAUGGGUUUGGGCUACACCAUCACCCUCAUCCUCGACAAUCAUAUUGUGCAGAAUAACACAACAUGUCAUCAGCUGUCACAAAGUUUCUGAUUCCCACAUCAUUGCAGCGCUCCACACAAUUCCCCAACGAGGCUGAAGCACACCAAAUUCCCUCUCCACGUCCUUCCUAGCCACUUCAUGCAUUGUUCCAGAGUGGCUCUGUUUGUUGCCAUAUGCAGCUCGGCUAUGGUUUUCACAAACACCGCCAACUGAGGAUAGAUACCAUCGGCAAGAUAGUACCCCAUGUUGUAGUCCCGGCCGUUGACGGUGUAGUUGCACGGCGGUGAUUCCCCAUUGCAAAGUGAUGUAGUGUGGAACCCUAUAGUGUCGAUCUUUCACGUUUGGAGUGGAUCCUACGGGGGGAAUCACGAAGAACACGCGGAAGCACAAGGGGAAACACGGGGAAAACGAGAGAGAAUCACUCAACCAACAAGGAAUCGAUCACACAAGUGCUAGAUCACCACACACAUAAGAGAUCCACAAGAUACAAAGUCAACUAAGGUAAGGAUACAAAGGAACCGUUCAUCUCCAAGAGGAGGCCUUGAUGUUCUUCCCUAGAUAGGGGUCUUGAAUCCGCUGGGGGAUCUUCUCCGAAGAGGUACUGAGCUCCGAGGAGAAGUAACCGAGUGGAUGAGCAAAGGCUCUCACACAAAUAUGAGCUAAUCCAAUGCUAACCCUCAAAAUGGGGAGGGGGAGGUCUAUUUAUAGUGCUAAGCCACGAAGGGGUAAGUGAGGGGCGAAGGGGUACACGGGCCUCGGCCCAAGUCAUGCGCACAGGCAAGGUCGGAUGAUUCGGACGGGGUCCCGGAUGAUCCGGGCGUCGGGGUCCGGAUGAUCCGGCUUCGGCAGAAGCCUUCGGGUGUCUUCGACGCAGUUACCCGGACGAUCCGGACGGAGUCCCGGAUGAUCCGGCUGGGCCCGGAUGAUCCGGACGGCGGUCCGGAUGUCCGGCCUGGCUCCAGCAGCCGCUCCGUCUUCUUCUUCCUUCUCCUCUUCCAUGCUUGGCCUUGAUCCUUGGAUUCUCCAUGGUCAUCUUGGUUGUACCUGAGUGUAUGCAAGGUCCAUGCAUGAGGUAGUAGCCGUGUCUCAUAUGCGGAAAGUGACGGUUCGAAGAGGAGUGAGUUCACCUUGUGUCAAAUGGCGCAUAGUCGAGGUCUCAUCUUAUGUAUCCUUGGGGCUUGGAGAGUAGUCGGAGUGUACAUGGGGAUGAACGUGGGAUGCUCCGCAUCAUAUCCCCCCCUUGGGAAAGAUCCGACCUCGGAUCAUGAUCCUCAUCACCAUGGAAACGGGUGUCAUGGACGGACUUGUAGUGGGACGUAGGUGAAGGCCUUGCGCAAUCCAAGUACUCUAAGGUGUCUCCGGUAUGUGGUACAUGCAAAAUGAGCAAACACAAAGUACACUUGGAAAUACAAUGGUUAGCGCACACAAAGUGUCCAUCAUGUAGGAAUGAGUCCGUGCGGCAAGAUAGUGCGUGGCAAGACACAAGAUGCUUAUCCAAAAGAAGUAGAAUGGGAUGUAAAGCAUUCAUGGGAUAAUUAGCAUGGUGCCCAAAGCGACAAAUUCUACCAUUGUGGAAAAUGAUGUCAUAAUGGGUUGGUGCAUCAAAAGCAUGAACAUGGCGAUGGAUGCUCAAUAUGUAUAUGUUAUCAUGCAAUUUAUGGUGGGCAAUAUGAUCAUGAUGUAUGAAUAUGCCAUCAAGGAAGAUCACAACAAAUUUGCUAAGGAAAUGCACAAGCUCAUAUAUCAUGGAUGACAUGGGAAUACAAGAUGCAACAAGGCAAUCAUAAUGUGAGUCAAUCCAUGCAUGAUGUGCAAACUUGUGGUAAGUAUGAUAUGUCCAUCGAGCUUGACAUGUAUGAGCACAAUCAACAAAUAUGAAGGUGGUAGUGUACCCAAGCUCGAUGUCGAGGCAUGAGUGGAGUGCCGAAGGUGCAUCCCAUAAGUGCAAGCGCUCCUCAAUGUGAAGGUCCAUAGAGCCAAUCUCCAAUGUUGCUCCUCCAUCCAAUAGAUGUAACAUGUAGACAACAAGAAGGAAACAACAAUGAAAGAGUGACCCAUCCAAUAUGCGUAUUUGAGGAUGGCUCAAAGAGAAGGAGGUCACCUUUAGGAGUUUCUCAAGGAUGAUGGAGUCGCACAUCUCGUAUGCCUUCACAUAACCAAUAUGUCUCAUGGUGGUCCCGCCUUGUAAAUCCUUCACAAUGAAAGAACAUGACAAACACUUGGAAAAACAAAUGAGGGUAGCAAAAUGGCAAAAUCGAUCAUUCGUGUGGUAAGAUACCCAACAAGUGUAUGUAUCAUGCUCAUCAUAAGAAAUGACAAGGGAGUAUUGCAUAGUAUGGAGGCAUAUGAUGCAAGAACAACCAAAUGCAAUAGGUUCAAUCAAACAAACAUGCAUCACAAGUAAAGUGUCCAAGUCUCCAAGAUCAAUAAGCAUAGCAAGUUGGCACUCAAUACAAGGUGAUAUGAGAGAUGCAACUAAUGGAGACAAGAGGUAAUGAUCAUGACAAAUCAAGUGAGAGGCAUCAACAUCUAUGUCAUCAACCCAAGAAAGCAAGUAAUAGUGGAACAUGGGUGAUGCAACAUAGCAAGCAAUCAUAGCGAUCAAGUCAAGCAAGCUAGUAGUGCGAAGAUGCAACAUACUAGAAGGAAUCAUGGCAAGCAUGUAAUGUGUGCAAAUAGUGGGCAUGAAUAAUUCACAUGUCAUAGCACAAGCAUGGAAGCAAGGUAUGAGUAAAAUAUCAUCAAUGUAUUGGCGAGAGGCCAUAUGUGAAUAGCAACGGGUCAUCAUGACUCUCCUAACACAACAAGCAUCAAUAGCAUGGGGCACAUGAUAAACAUGCCAAAAGCAACAAGGAUCUCCACCAAGCAUGCAAAUACACAUAGAAGUAGCAUAAUGGUGAAUCAUGGGUAGAUGCAAGCAAGGGUCACAAUUGCAUGGUAAAGGCAUAAGAGCACGCAUAACAUGCAAAGUGAACACAAUAGUAUGGGCAUAAGGUGACAAGUGGUAAAUAUCCCAUAGCCGUAUGAGAGCCAAGUAAAAGAGAUGUGCGUAGUCCUUGCGCGAAGGGAACGGUGGUAAGGAUAGUCCACGGGAUCCCAAGUCAUCAUUGCUCCCAAGAGCUCGUUUCGUCAACUCCUGAGAUUGAGAGGUUGACGAGUAUACGUGAGUACCUACACAAAAGAAAGACAAAGGAAAAAUUGUGUGUGCGUGGUAUAUGUACACAUCAUCCAUCAUGAUGCGCACGUGCAUGUGUUUGUUAGCACAAAAUAGCCAAUGCUCAAAUAAAUGAGAUGCGUGAUAUAGAAACAUGUCAUCCAUCAUGAGAGGUUUGUUAUUAUGUAUGUCAUAAUGGAGACUCAAAUUGUGUAAUGCAUCAUGAGAAAUAUCUAGAGCAUUGUUAUUCAUGGAAUGCAUAAGGUGCAUGCAAUCGUGGGAAUCAUGCAAAGUAUGGAAUGCGUCAAGAUCUCCUAAUAUGUAUGGGGAAACUAUGGGGGUCUCCUCAUGAGCAUGAGUAGCAACAUCACAUGGACAAUAUUCACAACAUCCAAAACAAUGCAUAUUUGGAGCAAUGUGAUCAUGGCAUGACAUAGUAGAUGAAUUGUGAAAAUCAUGUAAAGGAAGCAUGGCAAUAUCAUCACAUGAAAAACAAAAGCCAAUGACCAUCAUCUCGUCAUCUAUGCCAUAAGUGCAAAUGGGAUUGAUUUUAAUGGGGUAUGCAUAGUUACUAUGUUGAGAUUGAAAUGAUGCAAUAUGGGAGAUCUCACUCAUAGCAUAUGACAAGUUCAAUGGGUUGUCAAACAUGAUGUGACCAAAAGAAUUUUCACAUGAUAUCCUAUGAAGCAUAGCAUCACAACUAGGCAACUCAACAUGCUCAUCAUCAUAUUCAUCAUAAAUAGGUAAGUCAAGGCAUGAAGGAGUUUCACUAGCAUGAAGCAUGGUAAUAGGUGGGUCAACAUCAUGGGAGCAAUCAAUGUCAAGAGAGUCCACUAGUGGGACAAGAGAAGCACCAUCACCUAUGUUACCUUUGGAGCGUCGCUCAUGUGUUGUAGGUGAGGUGUUGAAGAUCGUCUCGUUGUCAUCUUCAUCUUGAUGGAACCAUGUGGGGGUGCAUCAUCGUCCAUCAUGGCCAUCGUCGUCUCCAUAGGAGGUAUGGACUCAUCAAUGGUAGGCAUGUCGUCAUGUAGGAGACCUAGCACCAAAGAAGAAAACACACUAGGAGUAGAGGUUAAGUCGUUAGAAAUCAUAGUGGCCUCACAUGCCGUGUCAACUACCUCACUCUCUAAGUGUUGUGGCUCACUCACUCCCUCAAGGAUGCUCUCACUCAUAUGGCUGGUGGAGUCACUCAAAUGGCGCUCAACCUCACAUAGGAUGUGUGGCAUGCUCUCAUGUGUGAGGCUAGUGGUGGUCACACUCAUCCUCUCAUAGGAAAUGCUCUCAAUGUCACGUAUGGUGGAGUCACUCAUGUCACUCAUGGGGUGGUGGCUCUCCUCACAUGAAAAAUGGGGCAUCUCGACAUAUGUGGGUGUCGGAGAGAUGUAGGUGCAAAUGUCUCCAUGCUCAACUCCUAUCGCCGUGGUCGAAGGGGAUGGCCCUUGCUCGACCUUCUUGUCACCGUCUUGGUGUGGGAGGCCCAUAUGAUGUGGCACCUCAUAGCUCGUCUCCAUGACCGAAGGGAGUGUCCCAUGCUCGACCAUCUUCCUUGAGGGGCUUCCUAAGAUGGAAGUGUCACCCUCGCUCGGAGGUCGUCGCCUUGGACUUGAUGAAGUCGAUGUAGGCGUACUCGUGGGAAGUAGGCGAAGAUGUCGUACGUCCAAAGGCGAAGAUGCCUUGAUAGCACUUGGCGAAGAUGCCAAAGUGGUUGGUGUAGCCGUAGCGCCGUCUUGGUGGUGGUCGUCUCGCGGUCUUCUUUUGUGCUCUUGAAGCUUGGACUUGGCGUGAAGUAGGGCUUGUUGGGACUUGUGCAUUUGCGCUUGUGGAGCAUCUUCAUGAUGAUGAUGUCGUUGUCGUGCUUGAGCUCGUAGUAGAUGUCGUUCGUCGUCGUCGUGCACAUGAUGCUUGGAGGUGACUUGCCCUUCAUGGCGGUGAUGAUCAUGAACGUGAUGGUGAUCGCCAUGUAGAUGUGGACGAGGACGAUUUGCACUUGCAUCUUUUUCGCGCUCCGAAGACUUGUGGCUUGACCGUCAUCGUCUUGAGGAUGAUGAAGUGGAAGAAGACUUGAUCAAGGCCCGAAUCUCUUCCAUCCUCGCAUCUUGCUCCUCCUUUUGUGCGGCAAGCUUGUUGUCGAUGUAGUCCCUUUUCCUUGCUUCGGAGUGGAAAAUGUCGAUGGAGAGGUUCUCAAUGCGCUCUUGCAAUUUUGAUUGUGCGCCUUGCAUUUGUCGUUGUAGUCCGAAGAUGGACCUUUUGGUGAUGUAGUUGUUCACGCCGUCGUUGUUGUCGUAGACCGGAGAGGAAAUGCCUUGCCUAUCCAUCACAAGACUCGAGCAAAUAUGAGUGGGAGAAAGAGAAGAACUUAUACCAAUGUACCUUGACCGAUGUUGACAAUAAAUCAAGUUCACUCAAAUGCGGACAAUGAAAUAACACUAUUGGUACCAAUCCUUGUCCGUUCUCACACCUACACAAGUAAAGCUUAUAGUGGAGCUCGGUGAGGAUAGUGGCACAAAAAUUUAAUGCAAAAUGUUAGCAAGAGUCAAUAAUGUUGAAAAAGAUUCACAAAUUCGCAAGUGAAACAAAUGGACCAAUAGCAAAGAAUGGCACAUGGAAAUACACACACGGAUAGAUAAAUGGGGUCGUGCAACCAAGGAGUGAGCACAAAAUGUGGAAUCCAGGGAAAACACUCGUGUUGCACAACUCAAGAGAGACGUUAGUACGAUUGCUCAAUAGGCGGAUACGACACUUGUGCACAACCUAUAGAUGCAAGAUGGGCAAACUUUCUAUCCCAAGUAUGCUAUGUAUGUAUGGUUCCCGGUGUUUCUCUCAAGCAUGAUAUCAUAUGAUGUAGAUUUUGGUAUGGCUCUUAUGUGCAAUGGGGUAUGAUGCUAUGGCACUUGCUCACGAGCUCUUUGCUCUCUUUUUGCUUAAAAGCUUUUUCUCUUUUUUCUCUAUGGCCACUUUUGCACAAUGCACAAACCAAGAUAGCAAUUGUGUAUAUGCGGGAACAAACUUGAGGCACAAUGGAUGAUAUGAUACCAAGAUGAUAUGGUAUGUAUGUAAUGGAAGGUAUGAUCACUAAUGUGCACAAGUAACAUUGCCGGCAAUACUCAAAUGGCUAGUCUCGAUAGGCAAGUAACGCAAAAUGGGCUAGGGGUUAACAUGCAAUUGCAAGGGAAUAUUGUUGGGGAACAUAGCAGAAAUUCAAAAUUUUCCUACGUGUCACCAAGAUCUAUCUAUGGAGAAACCAGCAACAAGGGGAAGGAGAGUGCAUCUACAUACCCUUGUAGAUUGCUAAGCGGAAGCGUUCAAGAGAACGGGGUCGAAGGAGUCGUACUCGUCGUGAUCCAAAUCACCGGAGAUCCUAGUGCCGAACGGACGGCACCUCCGCGUUCAACACACGUACAGCCCGGUGACGUCUCCCACGCCUUGAUCCAGCAAGGAGAGAGGGAGAGGUUGAGGAAGACUCCAUCCAGUAGCAGCACGACGGCGUGGUGGUGGUGGAGGAGCGUGGCAAUCCUGCAGGGCUUCGCCAAGCACCUGCGGGAGAGGAGGAGGUGUCACGGGAGGGAGGGAGGCGCCAGGGCUUCAGGUAUGGCUGCCCUCCCUCCCCUCCACUAUAUAUAGGGGCAAGGGAGAGGGGGGAGGUGCAGCCUUGCACCUUCCUCCAAGGAAGGGGUGCGGCCAAGAGGGGGGGAGGAGUCCAUCCUCCCCAAGGCACCUCGGAGGUGCCUUCCCCCUUGAGGACUCUUCCCUCCCCAAGUUUCCUUGGCGCAUGGGCCUCUUGGGGCUGGCGCCCUUGGCCCAUAUAGGCCAAGGCGCACCCCCUACAGCCCAUGUGGCCCCCCGGGGCAGGUGGACCCCCCCGGUGGACCCCCGGACCCCUUUCGGCACUCCCGGUACAAUACCGAUAAAGUGCGAAACUUUUCCGGCGACCAAAAUAAGACUUCCCAUAUACAAAUCUUUACCUCCGGACCAUUCCGGAACUCCUCGUGACGUCCGGGAUCUCAUCCGAGACUCCAAACAACAUUCUGUAACCACAUACAAACUUCCUUUAUAACCCUAGCGUCAUCGAACCUUAAGUGUGUAGACCCUACGGGUUCGGGAGACAUGUAGACAUGACCGAGACGUUCUCCGGUCAAUAACCAGCAGCGGGAUCUGGAUACCCAUGUUGGCUCCCACAUGUUCCACGAUGAUCUCAUCGGAUGAACCACGAUGUCAAGGACUCAAUCAAUCCCGUAUACAAUUCCCUUUGUCUAACGAUAUUGUACUUGCCCGAGAUUCGAUCGUCGGUAUACCGAUACCUUGUUCAAUCUCGUUACUGGCAAGUCUCUUUACUUGUUCCAUAACACAUCAUCCCGUGAUCAACCCCUUGGUCACAUUGUGCACAUUAUGAUGAUGUCCUACCGAGUGGGCCCAGAGAUACCUCUCCGUUUACACGGAGUGACAAAUCCCAGUCUCGAUUUGUGCCAACCCAACAGACACUUUCGGAGAUACCUGUAGUGCACCUUUAUAGUCACCCAGUUACGUUGUGACGUUUGGUACACCCAAAGCAUUCCUACGGUAUCCGGGAGUUGCACAAUCUCAUGGUCUAAGGAAAAGAUACUUGACAUUAGAAAAGCUUUAGCAUACGAACUACACGAUCUUUGUGCUAGGCUUAGGAUUGGGUCUUGUCCAUCACAUCAUUCUCCUAAUGAUGUGAUCCCGUUAUCAACGACAUCCAAUGUCCAUAGCCAGGAAACCAUGACUAUCUGUUGAUCACAACGAGCUAGUCAACUAGAGGCUCACUAGGGACAUAUUGUGGUCUAUGUAUUCACACGUGUAUUACGAUUUCCGGAUAAUACAGUUAUAGCAUGAAUAAAAGACUAUUAUCAUGAACAAAGAAAUAUAAUAAUAACACUUUUAUUAUUGCCUCUAGGGCAUAUUUCCAACAGUCUCCCACUUGCACUAGAGUCAAUAAUCUAGUUCACAUCGCCAUGUGAUUAACACUGACAGGUCACAUCACCAUGUGACCAACAUCCAAAGAGUUUACUAGUGUCAUUAAACUAGUUCACAUCAUCAUGUGAUUAAGACUCAAUGAGUUCUGGGGUUUGAUCAUGUUUUGCUUGUGAGAGAGGUUUUAGUCAAUGGGUCUGCAACAUUCAGAUCCGUAUGUACUUCGCAAUUCUCUAUGUCAUAUUGUAAAUGCUACUUCCACGCUCCACUUGGAGCUAUUCCAAAUGGUUGUUCCAGUAUACGUAUCCGGUUUGCUACUCAGAGUCACUCGGAUAGGUGUCAAAGCUUUCAUCGACGUAACCCUUUAUGUCAAACUCUUUAUCACCUCCAUAAUCGAGAAACAUAUCCUUAUUCCUCUAAGGAUAACUUUGACCGCUAUCUAGUGAUCCACUCCUUGAUCACCUUUGUACCCUCUUGCCAGACAAGCGGCAAGGCACACAUCAGGUGCGGUACUUAGCAUAGCAUACUAUAGAGCCUACGUCUGAAGCAUAGGGGACGACCUUCAUCCUUUCUCUCUCUUCUGCCGUGGUCGAGCUUUAACUCUUAACUUCAUACCUUACAACUCAGGCAAGAACUCCUUCUUUGACUGAUCCAUCUUAAACUCCUUCAAGAUCACGUCAAGGUAUGUGCUCAUUUGAAAGUACCAUUAAGCAUUUUUGAUCUAUCCUCAUAGAUCUUGAUGCUCAAUGUUCAAGCAGCUUAAUCCAGGUUUUCCAUUGAAAAACACUUUUCAAACAACCCUAUAUGCUUUCUAGAAAUUCUACAUCAUUUCUGAUCAACAAUAUGUCAACAACAUAUACUCAUCAGAAAUUCUAUAGUGCUCCCACUCACUUCUUUGGAAAUAAAAGUUUCUCAUAAACUUUGUAUAAACCCAAAAUCUUUGAUCAUCUCAUCAAAGUGUAUAUUCCAACUCUGAGAUGCUUACUCCAGUCCUUGGAAGGAUUGCUGGAGCUUUGCAUACCUUUUAGCAUCCUUAGGAUCGACAAAACUUUCUGAUUGUAUCACAUACGACCUUUCCUUAUGAAAACUGGUAAGGAAACUCGUUUUGUCAUCCAUCUGCCAGAUUUCAUAAAUGCAGCUAAUGCUAACAUGAAUCCGACGGACUUAAGCAUCGCUACGGAUGAGAAAAUCUCAUCGUAGUAAACUCCUUGAACUUGUGAAAAACUCUUCGCCACAAGUCGAGCUUCAUAGACGGUGACAUUACCAUCCACGUCCGUCUUCUUCUUAAAGAUCCAUUUAUCUCAAUGGCUUGCCGAUCAUCGGGUAAGUCCACCAAAGUCCAUGCUUUGUUCUGAUACAUGGAUCCUAUCUCGGAUUUCAUGGCUUCUAACCAUUUGUCGGAAUUUGGGCCCACCAUCGCUUCUCCAUAGCUCGUAGGUUCAUUGUUGUCUAGCAACAUGACCUUCAAGACAGGAUCACCGUACCACUCCGAAGCAGUACGCGUCCUUGUCGUCCUACGAGGUUCGAUAGUGACUUGAUCCAAAGCUUCAUGAUCACUAUCAUAAGCUUCCACUUCAAUUGGCGUAGGUGCCACAGGAACAACUUCCUGUGCCCUGCUACACACUUGUUGAAGUGACGGUUCAAUAACCUCAUCAAGUCUCCACCAUCCUCCCACUCAACUUUUCGAGACAAACUUUUCCUCGAGAAAGGACCCGAUUCAAGAAACAAUCCCUAUUGCUUUCGGAUCUGAAUUAGGAGGUAUACCCAACUGUUUUUGGGUGUCCUAUGAAGAUGCAUUUUAUCCGCUUUGGGUUCGAGCUUAUCAACCUGAAACUCUUUCACAUAAGCAUCGCAGCCCCAAACCUUUAAGAAACGACAACUUAGGUUUCUCCAAACGGUGUCGUCUCAACGGAAUUAUGUGGUACCCUAUUAAAAUGAGUGCGGUUGUCUCUAAUGCCUAACCCAUGAACGAUAGUGGUAAUUCGAUAAGAGACAUCAUGGUACGCACCAUAUCCAAUAGGGUGCAACUAUGAUGUUCGGACACACCAUCACACUAUGGUGUUCUAGGCGGUAUUAAUUGUGAAACAAUUUCCACAAUGUCUUAAUUGUGUGCCAAACUCGUAACUCAGAUACUCAUCUCUAUGAUCAUAUCAUAGACAUUUUAUCCUCUUGUCACAAUGAUCUUCAACUUCACUCUGAAAUUACUUGAACCAUUCAAUAAUUCAGACUUGUGUUUCAUCAAGUAAAUAUACUCAACAUUUACUUGAAUCAUCUGUGAAGUAAGAACAUAACGAUAUUCACUGCAUGCCUCAGCACUCAUUGGACUGCACACAUCAAAAUGUGUUACUUCCAACAAGUUGCUAUCUUGUUCCACCUUACUGAAAACGAGGCUUCUCAGUCAUCUUGCCCAUGUGGUAUGAUAUGCAUAUCUCAAGUGAUUCAAAAUCAAGUGAGUCCAAACGAUCCAUCUGCAUGGAGUUUCUUCAUGCGUAUACACCAAUAGACAUGGUUCGCAUGUCUCAAACUUUUCAAAAACGAGUGAGUCCAAAGAUCCAUCAACCUGGAGCUUCUUCAUGCGUUUUUAUACCAAUAUGACUUACAUGGCAGUGCCACAAGUAAGUGGUACUAUCAUUACUAUCUUAUAUCUUUUGGCAUGAAAAUGUGUAUCACUACGAUCGAGAUUCAAUAAACCAUUCUUUCAGGUGCAAGACCAUUGAAGGUAUUAUUCAAAUAAAUAGAGUAACCAUUAUUCUCCUUAUAUGAAUAACCGUAUUGCGAUAGACAUAAUCCAAUCAUGUCUAUGCUCAACGCAAACACCAAAUGACAAUUAUUCAGGUUUAAUACUAAUCUUGAUGGUAGAGGGAGCGUGCGACGUUUGAUCACAUCAAACUUGGAAACACUUCCAACACAUAUCGUCAGCUCACCUUUAGCUAGUCUCCGUUUAUUCCGUAGCUCUUUUAUUUCGAGUUACUAACACUUAGCAACCGAACCGGUAUCUUAAUACCCUGGUGCUACUAGGAGUACUAGUAAAAUACACAUUAACAUAAUGUAUAUCCAAUAUACUUCUAUCGACCUUGCCAGCCUUAUCAUCUACCAAGUAUCUAGGGUAAUUCUGCUCCAGUGGUUGUUCCCCUUAUUACAGAAGCACUUAGUCUCGGGUUUGGGUUCAACCUUGGGUUUCUUCACUAGAGCAGCAACUGAUUUGCCGUUUCAUGAAGUAUCCCUUCUUGCCCUUGCCCUUCUUGAAACUAGUGGUUUCACCAACCAUCAACAAUUGAUCCUCCUUCUUGAUUUCCACUUUCGCAGUGUCAAACAUCGCGAAUACCUCAAGGAUCAUCAUAUCUAUCCCUGAUAUGUUAUAGUUCAUCACGAAGCUCUAGCAGCUUGGUGGCAAUGACUUUGGAGAAACAUCACUAUCUCAUCUGGAAGAUCAAAUCCCACUCGAUUCAAGUGAUUGUUGCACUCAGGCAAUCUGAGCACAAGCUCAACGAUUGAGCUUUUCUCCCUUAGUUUGCAGGCUAAGAAGAUCGUCGGAGGUCUUAUACCUAUUGACGUGGGCACGAGCCUGAAAUCCCAAUUUCAGCCCUCGAAACAUCUUAUAUGUUCCGCGACGUUUUGAAAAAGUCUUUGGUGCCUCUACUCUAAACCAUUUAACUGAACUAUCACGUAGUUAUCAAAACGUGUAUGUUCGAUGUUCGCAACAUCCACAGACGACGUUUGGGGUUCUGCACACUGAGCGGUGCAUUAAGGACAUAAGCUUUCUACUGAUCGCAUAAUCACCACUAUCAACUUUCAAUUAUAUUUUCUCUAGGAACAUAUCUAAAACAGUAGAACUAAAGCGCGAGCUAUGACAUAAUUUGCAAAGGGUCUUUUGACUAUGUUCAGGAUAAUUAAGUUCAUCUUAUGAACUCCCACUCAGAUAGACAUCCCUCUAGUCAUCUAAGUGAUUACAUGAUCCGAGUCAACUAGGCCGUGUCCGAUCAUCACGUGAGACGGACUAGUCAUCAUCGGUGAACAUCUUCAUGUUGAUCGUAUCUACUAUACGACUCAUGCUCGACCUUUCGGUCUCCGUGUUCCGAGGCCAUGUCUGUACAUGCUAGGCUCGUCAAGUUAAACCUAAGUGUAUUGCAUGUGUAAAUCUGUCUUACACCCGUUGUAUGUGAACGUAAGGAUCUAUCACACCCGAUCAUCACGUGGUGCUUCGAAGCGACGAACUGUAGCAACGGUGCAUAGUUAGGGGAGAACACUUCUUGAAAUUGUUGUAAGGGAUCAUCUUAUUUACUACCGUCGUUCUAAGUAAACAAGAUGCAUAAACAUGAUAAACAUCACAUGCAAUCAAAUAGUGACAUGAUACGGCCAAUAUCAUUUUGCUCCUUUUGAUCUCCAUCUUCGGGGCUCCAUGAUCAUCAUCGUCACCGGCAUGACACCAUGAUCUCCAUCAUCAUGAUCUCCAUCAUUGUGUCUUCAUGAAGUUGUCUCGCCAACUAUUACUUCUACUACUAUGGCUACCGGUUAGCAAUAAAGUAAAGUAAUUACAUGGCGUUGUUUAAUGACACGCAGGUCAUACAAUAAAUAAAGACAACUCCUAUGGCUCCUGCCGGUUGUCAUACUCAUCGACAUGCAAGUCGUGAUUCCUAUUAUAAGAACAUGAUCAAUCUCAUACAUCACAUAUAUUCAUUCAUCACAUUCUUCUUGGCCAUAUCACAUCACAUAGCAUACCCUGCAAAAACAAGUUAGACGUCCUCUAAUUGUUGUUUGCAUAUUUUACGUGGCUGCUAUGGGUUUCUAGCAAGAACGUUUCUUACCUACGCAAAAACCACAACGUGAUAUGUCAAUUGCUAUUUACCCUUCAUAAGGACCCUUUUCAUCGAAUCCGUUCUGACUAAAGUGGGAGAGACUGGCACCCGCUAGCCACCUUAUGCACCAAGUGCAUGUCAGUCGGUGGAACCUGUCUCACGUAAGAGUACGCGUAAGGUCGGUCCGGGCCGCUUCAUCCCACAAUACCAUCGAAACAAGAUUGGACUAGUAACGGUAAGCAUAUUGAACAACAUCAACGCCCACAACUACUUUGUGUUCUACUCGUGCAAAGAAUCUAUGCAAUAGACCUAGCUCAUGAUGCCACUGUUGGGGAACGUAGCAGAAAUUCAAAAUUUUCCUACGUGUCACCAAGAUCUAUCUAUGGAGAAACCAGCAAUGAGGGGAAGGAGGGUGCAUCUACAUACCCUUGUAGAUCGCUAAGCGGAAGCGUUCAAGAGAACGGGGUUGAAGGAGUCGUACUCGUCGUGAUCCAAAUCACCGGAGAUCCUAGUGCCGAACGGACGGCACCUCCGCGUUCAACACACGUACAGCCCGGUGACGUCUCCCACGCCUUGAUCCAGCAAGGAGAGAGGGAGAGGUUGAGGAAGACUCCAUCCAGCAGCAGCACGACGGCGUGGUGGUGAUGGAGGAGCGUGGCAAUCCUGCAGGGCUUCGCCAAGCACCUGCGGGAGAGGAGGAGGUGUCACGGGAGGGAGGGAGGCGCCAGGGCUUCAGGUAUGGCUGCCCUCCCUCCCCUCCACUAUAUAUAGGGGCAAGGGAGAGGGGGGAGGCGCAGCCUUGCCCCUUCCUCCAAGGAAGGGGUGCGGCCAAGAGGGGGGAGGAGUCCAUCCUCCCCAAGGCACCUCGGAGGUGCCUUCCCCCUUGAGGACUCUUCCCUCCCCAAGUUUUCUUGGCGCAUGGGCCUCUUGGGGCUGGUGCCCUUGGCCCAUAUAGGCCAAGGCGCACCCCCUACAGCCCAUGUGCCCCCCCGGGGCAGGUGGACCCCCCGGUGGACCCCCGGACCCCUUUCGGCACUCCCGGUACAAUACCGAUAAAGUGUGAAACUUUUCCGGCGACCAAAAUAAGACUUCCCAUAUAUAAAUCUUUACCUCCCGACCAUUCUAGAACUCCUCGUGAUGUCCGGGAUCUCAUCCGGGACUCCGAACAACAUUAGGUAACCACAUACAAACUUCCUUUAUAACCCUAGCGUCAUCGAACCUUAAGUGUGUAGACCCUACGGGUUCGGGAGACAUGUAGACAUGACCGAGACGUUCUCCGGUCAAUAACCAGCAGCGGGAUCUGGAUAUCCAUGUUGGCUCCCACAUGUUCCACGAUGAUCUCAUUGGAUGAACCACGAUGUCAAGGACUCAAUCAAUCCCGUAUACAAUUCCCUUUGUCUAACGAUAUUGUACUUGCCCGAGAUUCGAUCGUCGGUAUACCGAUACCUUGUUCAAUCUCGUUACUGGCAAGUCUCUUUACUCGUUCCGUAACACAUCAUCCCGUGAUCAACCCCUUGGUCACAUUGUGCACAUUAUGAUGAUGUCCUACCGAGUGGGCCCAGAGAUACCUCUCCGUUUACACGGAGUGACAAAUCCCAGUCUCGAUUUGUGCCAACCCAACAGACACUUUCGGAGAUACCUGUAGUGCACCUUUAUAGUCACCCAGUUACGUUGUGACGUUUGGUACACCUAAAACAUUCCUACGGUAUUCGGGAGUUGCACAAUCUCAUGGUCUAAGGAAAAGAUACUUGACAUUAGAAAAGCUUUAGCAUACGAACUACACGAUCUUUGUGCUAGGCUUAGGAUUGGGUCUUGUCCAUCACAUCAUUCUCCUAAUGAUGUGAUCCUGUUAUCAACGACAUCCAAUGUCCAUAGCCAGGAAACCAUGACUAUCUGUUGAUCACAACGAGCUAGUCAACUAGAGGCUCACUAGGGACAUAUUGUGGUCUAUGUAUUCACACGUGUAUUACGAUUUCCGGAUAAUACAGUUACAGCAUGAAUAAAAGACUAUUAUCAUGAACAAAGAAAUAUAAUAAUAACACUUUUAUUAUUGCCUCUAGGGCAUAUUUCCAACAAAUAUACAAUGAUGUCGUCGAGGUUACCGUCCUUGGAGAUGAUGAGAGGCGGUGUUCUUGAUGUAGAUACCAAGAUGAUGGAGACUCGUCCCUAAGUAGCCGAAACACCUUAGGAAACGGAAAAACUGCGAACUCAAAAUCUUAAAUGACAAAUGUCAAAUGGUGGUAGCGGAAAGCGGUGGUGGUUUUGCACUAGGCAAAUGCGGAAGUGGAAUGAUGGGCUAUACACGAGUCGGAGUUGAAGUUGCCGUUCCUAAGUAGCCGAAACACCUUAGGAGACACAAGCCACAACACAAACAAAAUUGGGUUAAGUUGGGGUUGUCGGAAGUGUAUGGUGGGAAGGUUAUGUGGAAGUGGUGGUGGUGGUGGUUGAUGAAGAAGCAACCGUCCCUAAGUAGCCGAAACACCUUAGGAGACUCAAGUCACUACUCAAACAACCUCAAAUGCUAUGGGGAACAAAAUGGGGUAGGUUGCGGAAGUCGGUGGUGGUAAUGCGGAUGAUAUGGUGGAGGGCCUAGGCAAACUUGCCAAAUUUCAGAAAAUUUGAUGGAGUCAAAUGAUGUUGGCAGUAUUUUUGUGGGAUGGGGGAUGUCAAGAGCUUCAAAACGAGCUAAAGAACGUCAAAAUCGGACUCCGGAUGAAUUAGUUAUGACCGAAACAAGAUUUCAGCCGAGUCAGUGUCAGGGUUACCCGGACAUCCGGGAGUAGGUCCGGAUGAUCCGGGUUCGUCAACCGGAUUUCUGUCGUGUGGGGCGUCUGGACAUCCGGGAGAUGGUCCAGCUGAUCCAGGUGGAUCCGGAUGAUCCGGGAGCUCUUUCGGAUGAUCCGGCAGGUCAAACUGCUCGGCUUUUGCUCGUGGAGACGAAUUUUUGGGCGGAAUUUGGGGAUUUUGGGAUCAAAAUUGGCGAGAUUUCGUGGAUGGAAGGUGGGGAAACUUGGGGAAAUGCUAGAUCCACUUGAAACCAAGCAAAUCCACGGAUCAAAAUCAACAAAACAUCAUCAAACCAACAAAUCACAAAAAAUCUUGGGGCUAUUUUUGGUGGGGAUUUUCGGAUUUAGGACGAAAUCAACAAAAUCAAGCUAGAAAUCACGGGGUAGGGGCUCCAAAAACGUGAUCAACGUGGCUCAUGAUACCAUAUGAUGUAGGGUGGAACCCUAUAGUGUUGAUCUUUCACGUUUGGAGUGGAUCCUACGGGGGGAAUCACGAAGAACACGCGGAAGCACAAGGGGAAACACGGGGAAAACGAGAGAGAAUCACUCAACCAACAAGGAAUCGAUCACACAAGUGCUAGAUCACCACACACAUAAGAGAUCCACAAGAUACAAAGUCAACUAAGGUAAGGAUACAAAGGAACCGUUCAUCUUCAAGAGGAGGCCUUGAUGUUCUUCCCUAGAUAGGGGUCUUGAAUCCGCUGGGGGAUCUUCUCCGAAGAGGUCCUGAGCUCCGAGGAGAAGUAACCGAGUGGAUGAGCAAAGGCUCUCACACAAAUAUGAGCUAAUCCAAUGCUAACCCUCAAAAUGGGGAGAGGGAGGUCUAUUUAUAGUGCUAAGCCACGAAGGGGUAAGUGAGGGGCGAAGGGGUACACGGGCCUCGGCCCAAGUCAUGCGCACAGGCAAGGCCGGAUGAUCCGGACGGGGCCCCGGAUGAUCCGGGCGUCGGGGUCCGGAUGAUCCGGACGGAGUCCCGGAUGAUCCGGCUUCGGCAGAAGCCUUUGGGUGUCUUCGGCUCAGUUACCCGGACGAUCCGGACGGAGUCCCGGAUGAUCCGGCUGGGCCCGGAUGAUCCGGACGGCGGUCCGGAUGUCUGGCCUAGCUCCAGCAGCCGCUCCGUCUUCUUCUUCCUUCUCCUCUUCCAUGCUUGGCCUUGAUCCUUGGAUUCUCCAUGGUCAUCUUGGUUGUACCUGAGUGUAUGCAAGGUCCAUGCAUGAGGUAGUAGCCGUGUCUCAUAUGCGGAAAGUGACGGUUCGAAGAGGAGUGAGUUCACCUUGUGUCGAAUGGCGCAUAGUCGAGGUCUCAUCUUAUGUAUCCUUGGGGCUUGGAGAGUAGUCGGAGUGUACGUGGGGAUGAACGUGGGAUGCUCCGCAUCACAAAGCCUCCUGAACACUGGAGAUCGUUGAAGCACGUUGAUAUCGUUGUGAGAACCGGGCAUUCCAAAGAAAGCAUGCCAAAUCCAUAAGUCAUGUGAUACCACCGCUUGUAGUAUGAUGGUGGCCUCUCUGGUGUGACCUUGAUACAUUCCCCGCAGACCUUUGGGGCAGUUUUUCCAUUGCCAAUGCAUACAAUCAAUUGAUCCGAGCAUUCCUGGAAACCCCCUUGCCUCUCCAAUAGCCAACAACUUCUCACUGUCCUACGCAUUUGGUUCUCUGAGAUACUUCGGUCCAAACACCUCAACCAUAGCGCGAGCAAAUUUCACAGUAGUCUUGAGGCACGUGCUCUCCCCCAUCCUGACCAUCUCACCAACGACUUCUACAGUAGUACCAAGUGCAAGCAUCCUCAGAGCAGCCGUGCACUUUUGCUUGGCCGAGAAAGAGAGUUGGCUGCAGCAAUCCCUUCUCAGAUUGAAGUAGUCGUCGUGUGCCUCCACUCCCUCCAUAAUGCGCAAAAAUAAUGAUUUUCGCAUGCGAAAACGGCGACGAAACCAUGGAUCUUCCGAAAAAGCAGGUGUGGGAGCAAAGUAGUCAUUGUGCAAUAGCUUUGCUCCAGACACUCUGUCCCGGUUGAUCACUCUUCUUCCUUUGAUUGAGCCCUUAAAGUUGAGAAUAUGCUCCACUUGUCGGUCCAUUUCCUCUUGCAUGCUCAUGAGCAUGAUCAUGUCCACUUCUUCGUCCUUAUUCGACGAAUCGAAGAACUCAUCUUGAAUCAUUUGGUCAAGCUCCGUCGGGCCAUACUCCUCGUCCGACGAAGCAUUGGAAUCCAUAAUGUACCUAACAAAACCACAAUAAUUCCGGUCGGUCAAUGUGUCGAACACAUCAAGUGCAAGGCGGAGCCGGAGAGUUGCCGGACAUACCAUGGUGGCGUCCGGGCCGGCGACAACGUCCCUCGCGGCGAGGACUGGAGCGCUCUUCCGGAGUUGGCGGCGGAGAGCCUGGGAAAGGCUGCGGAGCGGGCGUGGCGGCGGAGCUGCGAGCGAGACGGCGCAGAGGAGGAAGAACGAGGAGAGAGCAAAUGGAUCCGGUAACUCGGGAGGGAGGAGGGAUUUGAUGCAAUUUAGGGUGGGAUCGGGUUGUCGAAUCCGACGUGACGGGCGUGCCCGGGCUCUCCAUAUCCGCCCCAUAUUUGAGCUGGAUAUGGGAGUGCGGGUCAGCCCGAACGUUUGAGGGCCGUUCGAGAGGUUCAUCUGGGUCAAAAUAUCAUGAUCGAGUCUGCCGAGCGUUUGAGACGGGUUGAGGGUUCCACCUGUUGGUGCACAGCGGAAGAACAGUCGUUAGUUUUCUCUGCAGUGACGAAGGAAACACCGAAACAGAACACAGAAAUCCCAAUCCCCGCCGCCAAAGGCUCCAACCACGAUGGUGCCAGGAAUGGCGCCCAAGCCGGCGGCGCCGAUGCCCGCGCAGCCGAAGAAGCCUCAGCACAUGCUCGUGCUCGGCACCGGCUUCGUCGGCCGCUACGUCUCGGAGCGCCUCCUGUCACAGGGAUGGUUAGUCCGCCGUCGCUCUCAGCCCCCUCCUCGCUCCGUUCUACCGCUUCUCCUUCUCUUUGACCGGCGUCGGCACAAAUUGAGACCACUCCGUCGCUGUAACUCCGGUUCCCCAACUCCCCUUAUCGAUGUCUCGAACUAGAUUGGGUUCUGCCGCUGCUGUAGCCAUCUCCUCCUCCCCCGAAUUCGGUCCUUGAUUUCUGUCUGGAUGAACGCAGGCGGGUGUCCGGGACGUGCACCAGUGCCGCCAAGAAGACGGAGCUCGAGUUGCUGGGCAUGACUGCUUCCGUCUUCGAUGCCACAACAAGCAAGUACGGCUUAUUUCCUCUGUUCUCGCCCUUCUUUCAAGCACCGUUCUCUGCCGCGGAGCACUUGCCAGAUAUAAAUAAUACAUGGAUAGUCUAGCUAAAAAUGGUUGUAGGCUGAAAAUCUUUGACCCACAAACGUUUCACUAGUGUUAUUAGUUGAAUUGCAUCUGAAAAGGUGAAUGAAGCUCUCGUUUGUUUUCUGUUGAACAUAAAACUUUGCUGAUGCAGGCCAAAAUAUUUGCUUUAAACUGCAGUGAAGUCAAUCUUUGGAACUAAUAGUACUACAUUUAUAUACACAAAUACUUCAGUCAUGGCAGAUUGUUUAAUCAUUAGGGGAAGAAGGCCACUCCAAAUUUUUGUGCUAGACUCCAAUAUAUUUUCUUGAAAUUUUAUUAUGACGAUAUAUGAUCCUUAUCUCUUGUUGUUCUACCUGUGUCCCCCUGGGCCCUCUUACUCCUGUGUGUGGGUGCCAGUGAAUUUUGCUUUCUCAUACAUGAAUCUUUAUGUCUACGGGCAAUGUCCUUUUCUGAUUACUUUUGGCUGUCAAUUCCAGCCUCACAGAUCUUCAUGCUUUGCAAGAUGCAACCCAUUUGCUCAUCUCCAUUCCUCCCAUCCCUGGGGUGGGUGAUCCUGUACGUUGCCAAUUAUCUGCUACUCAAUUCAGUAUGCUUCACUUGAAUGCGAUCCUGAUUUGACUUCAUGGUUAUCCCUUAUGCAGUUGCUUUCCUCACAUGCUGACCUGCAAACAACACUGACUAGUGGUAAUCUUCAAUGGUUAUGCUACCUAUCUUCAACAAGUAAGUUCAAACAAUGUGUGCACCUCUAAUAUGAAAUAGUAUGUUGGUUUGGGGUGAAAUUGAUUGACAGCAUUUCGGCAGUUUCCAUUUCACUAAAUUAUUUAACAUGUGGUAGUCAAAUGAACUGCAUUUAAGUGCAAUAGUUUUUCUUGAGGACCCUUACUUGGUUUACACACUGCAUUCAUGUCAAUGCACUAGAAUAGGAGAACAUCUCUAUUUCUUCACCCUUGUUAGGUACGUUAGCUCUUCCAGCUGGCUUAGAUAACUGCCUUAUAAUUCUUAUUAUUUCCCAGGUGUGUAUGGUGAUUGUGGUGGUGCAUGGGUUGAUGAGGAGUAAGAAACUGAAUGGUUUGUGUGUGUUUUUGCAAUACAUUUUUAAAAGUGCAGAAGAAACUGAUGUAUAUGCAGUCAUGUAGUGAAUCCAAAGAGCGAGUCUUCCAAGUUAAGAUAUACCGCUGAACAAGGAUGGUUGGAUCUUGUCGACGAGCUGGAUCUAUCGGCUUAUAUACUUCGUUUGGGUGGGAUAUAUGGGCCUGGAAGAAGGUUGAGAUAUGCUAAUACUUCAAUCCAUUUUACUAUUUUGAUUUCUUAUCAAAUAAUUAGUCAACUCUAGAAAUGCUUGACAAUUGAUAUGCUGAUUUAGACCAAUGUAUUUGCACCUAUGAAAUGAAAGCUUGUCAGCACUUUUUUCAUGACUGCUUUGGAUUUUAUCAUAGAAGCCAUCAAACAAUGUGAUAGAGAUGAAUGGUUGGAAGAUUUGUUCAAGGAGACUGUUUAUACGUCCUGAUACCGUGUCUCUGAAAGCGUCAGUAUGACGACUAUUCUUGUUUCGUAUUUGUGAUGAUCGCCAUUUGUUGUUGCAGUGCUUUGGACACCAUAGCUAAGAGAAAAUCUUCUUCCCGAAGACAGAAGUUGAGGGAGUCCAAACAGUACACGGCACGUAUCCAUGUGGCCGACAUCUAUCAGGCUAUCCUGGCUAGCAUGAGCAUCAAAUCUACAAGGUUUCUGUUUUCUCUUGCUUGCAUAAUUCCAUGGUUCUUUGCAAUUGUUGAGUCUUCACGCAAUUUUCACAGACUUCAUUACAGUUUACAUAUAGCAUAGCUCAAAUAUGAGAUUGCAACGCCAAAAGUCCUCUUCGUUUGUAUUUCUCUCUUGCUUUGUUCUACAAAAUAGCCAUAUCAGUGUGAUCUUUAAACAUCAUCACACAUACUCACCGUGUGUUCAACUUCAUAUUUCGGUCUUACCAUACAUGUUCUAGUCACGUUUUGUAAGCUUAUGUUUUCAGUAUAAUCGAGAAAAAUGACCGUGCAUACGAAGACAGAUAAUUGAUUUCCAACGUUUAACCAUUUGAAUGCCAGGAAGAUAUACAAUGUGGUGGAUGAUGACCCUGCCCCGAGAUCCGAGGUCUUUGCAUUUGCUCAGAGCUUGAUAGAGAAAAGAUACCCUGAUCUUGCAGCGGAUUCUGCAGGAUCAAACAGCCAGAACAGAAUUAUAGCUGCUGAAAAACGGGUAUCUAAUGGUCGGUUGAAACUGGAGCUUGGCGUUAGGCUUGCCCACCCAUCUUAUAGGUCAGGGCUGCAGAGUAUUCUUGAUUCCUGGCUCGAGGGAAAUCAGUGAUGUGUAGCCUGUGCAGCGAGUAGCAUUUCUUUUAAUCCUUGGUUUGGACACAAUGUGAACCUGUACACGAUACCGCACAUUGUACCAGAAACUGAAGUAAUUUACUAUGAUCCCAAGGAAUAUUUUGCCGAAUGUAGUAGUGAAAACUAAAAUAAAUGCAGUUGCAAGAUUAAUGUGCAUGUUCCAUAUUACCCAUUCAGUAAGUACUAGAUGUCCAUUGAAUCAGUAGAUGCCGGAGUAUGUUGGAGUACAAAGACGAAGCCUAAAGCAGGCAGCUGGCCAAAUCUGAAACCAGAAGCCAGAGAGGGAGCAAUUACUUUUAGGGAAAAUGAAAAUAACCUACAGCUAACUACUACUAGUAUAUUGGCCAACAGUACAUUUUAGUGAUGGAUUUGUAGGUUGGCGAGGUCCCUUGCAGCGCGUCUGGCCUCGCGGCGCUCCCUCCGCAUAAGGACCUCCUGGCGCCAGGCGUUAAUGCAGGGCAGCGAGCAGUGUUGCUCGUAAUGCCAGCCCGCCCAGUGGGCAUGACACUGCGCGCACGUGCCCGGCGCCCUCCUCAGCACCGGCAGCAGCAGCAGCUCGUCCUCCUCCUCGCCGACCGGGUCGCCGAGGUAGCCCUCCACGCGGCGGAACCACGGCUCGAAGCCCGUGCACCGGACGCAGUGCGCGCCUCCAUGCUCCUCGAUACGGAGAACGACGCCGGCGAGGCACGUGCCGUUGCUGUGGUGCGGGCAGGCGGCGGCGCAGAAGAUCUUCUUGCAGCCCGUGCAGUAGGAGUCUCUGGGGAGCGGCGUGUCGUAGUCCUCCGCGGCGAUGGCGCGGACGACCUCGUCGGGCAUCCACUGCGAGUCCCCGGGCUGGAACACCGGCCGGCCUGCGACGUCGACGGAGAUGGCGGUGUGAAACGGCCCACGGUGGUGAUGAGAGCCGCAGCAGUGGGAGCAGAAGGCGUGGAAGCAGUCCAGGCAGAAGCUGUCCCUCCGGCACGUCUGCGACAGUUCCUCGAACUCGAGCGGCGACGACAUCGUGUACCUAACAGCGAGGCAGGGGGGACGCGCGAUGUGGCGGGUAUAUGCAGAGACCAGGAGACGAUGGCAUAUACUACAGGACACCAAAGCAUAUAUAUAUAUAGCUUAUUUACGGGUCCGACUUCACCAAAGCAUAUAUAUUCCUAGCUAGGCUGCAACUAUCUUUUUUGCUUUGUUAGAGCAACUCCAACGGACAGCACAUCUGAACUGAACAACAGAGAGCGCCCCUGUUGAGAGUCGAGCGAGAGAAGCACGUCCCGCCCGAUCCCCAAUCUUCCCCGGCGGCGAUGCCGGCUGGAGGAGAGAAGGGAGAGGAGCACGGAGGAGCUAUGUAUAUAUUAAGUCUAAGUUGAGUCUUACCCCUGUGGCGUCUGGCGCUAUGCCGAGGUGGAGCGUACCGCCGCCGCGUUCGAGCAGCGGCCGGUGGUUAGCGGUGGCUGCACUCCUGGCUGCGCUGGUGUGCCAGUUGCUUGUCAGGAGUGGGUUGCCGGUGACUCCACGAAUAAGCUCGUUUGGUCCGCUGAUCUGGAGGAGGUCCUUAUUUUCCUCUGCUUCCAAGGUUACCAUGGCGGUGAAGGAGGAAGAGAGGAAAGAUGGAGAUCCAGUUCGGGUUCGAGCUCAUCACCGACGGAGAUCUUGGAUGGCCUAUGGCUCCCGCUGUUGCGGUCGAUGCCGGCCGUCGCCGCCGAAUCCUCUAACCGAAUGGCGGUCUUUCUUCUUCCUCCCGGCCAAGAGCCAGAUGGGAGGCAAUGCAGCUUCAUCCUGGAGUUCGUGGCGUGGUGCCAUGGAGGGCUCGCCGCACCAAGUGGUGCCGUCCCCGGUGAAGACGAGUCAAGUUUCAGGCUGGAGUUGCCAGGUACCCGAUUGCUUUUUUCAUCAAUUUUCUGGGGUCCUCUUUGUAAUAGUCAGGGACCGGUUAGUGUUUUCCUUUUUCGUUCAGGGUCCUGAUGUAAAAUCGCCGUGUACUGCUCCUUUCUAAUCAAUGCAGCUUCGGGGUCCUUCCGGGCCCUUAGUUUGUUCAAAAAAAAGCAACUCCAACGGGCCAAUCCAAACGGACGGCGCAUUUGUCCGACUUUUGUCCGUUUGGGUCGGCCGCCCCCACCGGCGUCCGCCCAGUUUUGCAUUUGGGUCGGCAGUGCGCCCAACGCGCCGAUCCAUUUCAUGUCCGCAUUCAACUAUAAAAAAAGGCCCGCGGGCGAUCAUGCCGGCACCAUGCCAGCGCCGGCAUACAAUGCCGGCUUCAGAAAAUAUCACCAUAGGUUCAUGCUGGCGCACUCGCCAGCCGGCCGGCACUCAUGCCGGCACACAAAAAGGGCGGGGCUUGAGUUCGACCACGCCAUCGCGGCUCCCGUGGUCAUGCCGGCACACCUGCCGGCAUACAAAAAAGAUGGCGCUCGCCGCCAUACAUCACUCGUCGUCGAACUUGAGCAUGUCGGCCUGCAUCUUCUCGAACCAUGGCCUCUUGCUUGGCGACACUGUAACGCCUCGGAUACAACUUUCCAUAUUCGUAACUCCAACUCUUGCCUUUUUCGGAGAUGCGAUAUGAUAUUUUCCUUCGUGGUUGGGUUAUUGUCGUUUGUUUUGCAUUUUGUUCAUGCCAUGCAUCUCAUCUCAUAGCAUCAUGCGCAUUGCAUCUGCAUGUUUUCAUAAAACUCGUAGCCGUUCACAGUUGCCCUUUCUCUCUUUGCCUCCGUUGUUAUUUUGUCAGGUCCUUGUCCUCGUUGACCUCUCUCAGACCCCCUCUUGCGCGCGUCCGAAAACUCCCCCGAAGUCGAACCUGGUUGUCGUGACCGUUGGGUUCGGAUCAUCCCCCAACAUCUAUAAAACAUCUCCGUUUUCUUAUUUGGACCCCCCUAGCCUAUUUUUCUCGACCGCCCGAUUUCGCUCGGACGUACCGGGUUAACCCUGCCCUAAUCCUCCUUGCUAUAUAAAUAUGACCCAACCCUAAAUUUGAGGAGAGUUGUCCCAUCGGUCCCUCACCCACCGCCGCCGCUCUCCCGCAUCCACCUUGGGAUCCCUCCCGAUCCAGUUUCCACCCGAGACCAAUCGCAGCCUCCAUCUUCUCCUCGUUCUCCCCACCAGCCCAACCGGAGCGCUCGAACAAGUGUCCUCCUUCCUCGGGAUCGACCCAGAUCCCACCUGGCCAAAUCCCCUCUCGCUCCCUCGUCCUCGCCCGCGUCCGAGCAAGAGGAGCUCGCUGCUCAAGCUCGAGCACGCACCCAGGACCCAUGGCGCCACUCCCGUGCGCGCCUCCUCCUCCCGCUGCUCCCUGCGUCCCUUUUCGCGCUGUGCAACGCCCGAGGAGAGCCGAGCUCCUCCCGAUCCAGAGCUUCGCCGUCUUCUUCGCGACCCUCGCCGCCUCGUCUCACCGCCGACGAUCACCAGCACCUCCAGGUCACGCCGCCGGGCCUCCCUCGCGCCCUCUCUUCCUUUCCCUCUCCCUGUCUCACCUCUCUCUGUCUCUCUUCGUCAGGGACAGGAACGAGGCAAGCCCGCGCGUCCUCCGCCGUGGAUCCAGGGCCUUGAUUCGUUCCCGGCCUCGCCUCUUCUCGCCGGAGUCCCAACCUCGCCGGAUCCAGCCGUCUCCGUCGUCCGCUAGCCUCCUAUCUGUCUCGAGCGCCAAGUCCCGCUCCCUGCUUCCUCUGAAGUCGCUGCACCAAGCCCCGCCUCCUGCGUCCCUGCCUCGAGCACCAGUGCUCCAAGCCCGGCCCUUCUGUAGCUCGCCGGUGACCACAUCUAGCCACCCGCGCCCGUGGUUCCCUCCUUUUUCUUCCCGUUUCUUCUCCCUGAAUCUCUUCUCUGAAUUCACUCGUCUCUUUGAAUUUCUUCACAGGAGUUGAGCCGCUGUCGUCCUGUUCGACUCCCUCCAUCAGGAACCAUCUCCCCUCGUCAGAUCCGGUAGAUCCUCGCCGCCGUCCGCCACCUGUAGGCCCCAUCUCGCCGCACCUCCCUCCGUUCCUUGAACCCACGAUGCUAAAGUCCAUCGCGCCCAGCCGCCGGCGCUUGAACCUGCUUCUUCCUCUGUUCUUCAGUAACGAGAGCAGCAGCAGUUCGCUUGUCCCACGUGUUGACCGCGCCAUGCCAGCGCCUGGGCCGCGUCCCGUGAGCCGACCCAGCAGCUGCAUCCUGUCGGCCUGCUGCUACCUCUCCACAGUUCUGGGCUGAGGCCCAUGGUGAGCAGCACCCCCCAGCCCCUUCUCUGUGUUCAGCCCAGCAGUGCUCCAGAUUCGGCCCGUGGAUGUUUUUUUUCCCGUUCUGCGAUUUAGCGAUUUAUCCAGAGAGUGCAGUUUUACACAUUACCUCUCAUGUUCAUGCAUUUAAUAUCUCACAAACCGUGCAUCGGAUUAAAAUAUUUUAAAUAGGGAAAAUGCUUAGAAUUUCCUCUAGUUUCACAUAAUGCCAUUUUCAUCCAUGUUUAAAAUGUUUAAAAUGCUGUUUGUUUAAAUUUGUUCAAAUGCCAUGUUAAAAUGAUUUAUUUCAUAACUAAUUAACCGUAGCUCCGAAUUUAAUAAACUUUAUAUGUAUUUGGGGUGGAAAAAUGCAUAGAAUAACAUGGUCAACUUUAUUUUCCUGUUUAACAACUUUAAAAUAUGUUUUAGGGCAGAACAGUAGCAAAUUCAUAAAUUGCAUAUGAGGAUUUUCCGGAAAUGUUGUUUGUUGUUUCGGCCUCAUUCAAACUUGCCUAAAUAGUUAGUUUACUUUUGUUACACCCCUUGCCAUGUUUAACAACAUUUAACAUUGUUGUGAACCUAAACGAGAGCGAACUAAAUAACUCAGAUGUGGUGUUUCGCCAAUAUGCAACUCGUUGCAUAUUGAGCUCCACUUAAUUUGUAGGGUUGUUUGUUGCACUUUGUCAUGCCAUGCCUCAUUAAACCGGACAUGCAUCAUACUUGUUUGUGCAUCAUGCCAUGUUUAUGCUUGUGCAUUUACCAUGUUGUUUGUUUCUUUCCGGUGUUGCUUCUUAGUUCCGGUAAUGUUGCGAUUGUGAGGAUUCGUUCGACUGCUCCCGUUCGUCUUCUUCAUGGACUCGUUCUUCUUCCUAGCGGGAUCUCAGGCAAGAUGACCGCUACCCUGGAUCUCACUACUAUCAUUGCUAUGCUAGUUGCUUCAUUCUAUCGCUAUGCUGCGCCACCUAUCACUUGCUCUUCAAUCCUCCCAAAUUGCCAUGAACCUCUAACCUUUGACACCCUUCCUAGCAAACCGUUGUUUGGCUAUGUUACCGCUUUGCUCAGCCCCUCUUAUAGCGUUGCUAGUUGCAGGUGAAGUUGAAGAUUGCUCCAUGGUAGACAGGGUUAUGUUGGGAUAUCACAAUAUCUCUUAUUUAAUUAAUGCAUCUAUAUAUAUUGGUAAAGGGUGGAAGGCUCAGCCUUAUGCCUGGUGUUUUGUUCCACUCUUGCCGCCCUAGUUUCCGUCACACCGGUGUUAUGUUCCCGGAUUUUGCGUUCCUUACGCGGUCGGGUGAUUUAUGGGACCCCCUUGAUAGUUCGCUUUGAAUAAAACUCCUCCAGCAAGGCCCAACCUUGGUUUUACCAUUUGCCUCACCACCACCUAUACCUUUCCCUUGGGUCGGCCAAUCCGAGGGUCAUCUUUAUUUUAGCCCCCCGGGCCAGUGCUUCUCUAAGUGCUGGUCUGAACCGGGCAGACUGCGGGGCCCCUUCAGGGCAACUCGAGGUUUGGUUUUACUCGUAGGCUGACCUAUCCAGUGUUGCCCUGAGAACGAGAUAUGUGCAGCUCCUAUCGGGAUUGUCGGUGCAUCGGGCGGCUUUGCUGGUCUUGUUUUACCAUUAUCGAAAUGUCUUGUAAACCGGGAUUCCGAGACUGAUCGGGUCUUCCUGGGAGAAGGUAUAUCCUUCGUUGAUCGCGAGAGCUUAUCAUGGGCUAAGUUGGGACACCCCUGCAGGGUAUAAACUUUCGAGAGCCGUGCCUGUGGUUAUGUGGCAGAUGGGAAUUUGUUAAUGUCCGGUUGUAGAUAAUUUGACACCUGAUCCGAAUUAAAACGCAUCAACCGCGUGUGUAGCCGUGAUGAUCUCUUCUCGGCGGAGUCUGGGAAGUGAACAUGGUUUCUGUGUUAUGAUUGACGUAAGUAGGAGCUCAGGAUCACCUCUUGAUCAUUACUAGUUGACGACCGUUCCUUUGUUUCUCUUCUCGCUCUCAUUUGCGUAUGUUAGCCACCAUAUAUGGUUAGUCGCUGCUGCAACCUCACCACUUUACCCCUUCCUUUCCCUUUAAGCUUUGCUAGUCUUGAUACCCAUGGUAAUGGGAUUGCUGAGUCCUCGUGGCUCACAGAUUACUACAACAACAGUUGCAGGUAUAGGAUUAUGCAUUGAUCUUGACGCGAGAGCGAUGUUGCUUGUUUUGGAGUUCUUCUUCUGCUUCUUCUUCGAUCAGGGGAUAGGUUCCAGGUCGGCAGCCUGGGCUAGCAGGGUGGAUGUCGUUUGAGUUUCUGUUUGUGUUUCAUCCGUAGUCGGAUGGUUGCUCUUAUGUAUGAUGUAUUGAUGUAUUCUUGUGGCAUUGUAUGCCUUAUGUAUGUAUCCCCAUCUAUUAUGUAAUGUUGAUGUAAUGAUAUCCACCUUGCAAAAGCGUCUUCAAGAUGCGCUUCUAUCCUUGGUGGGACCUUCGAGUUCCUUUAGGAUAGGGUCGCAUCUUGGGCGUGACAAGUUGGUAUCAGAGCCUCGACCGACCCUAGGAGCCCCCUUGAUUGAUCGUGUAGUUUGGCCAUUGUUGAGUCUAGAACAAAACUGUUUUCUGAGUCUAGUUAUAUCGGAGAGUAGGAAUUCUUUUACUCCUCAGCCCCUUCGUCGCUCUGGUGAGGAAUCUUGAUGUAGGUGUUUUAAAUUACUUCUCUUCCCUUUAAAAUUUUCUUUAGGAUCACGCAAUUGGUUUUUUGAUCGUUGUUCCUCAGCUCUCUGCAUCCAGUGCAUUUCUUGUCAAGGUGAUUCGACCCUCUCCGUUUUCGCAAGUUCAAUCCUCAGUUGUUUUGUUUUUCCCACCCGCCCUCCCUUCUUCUUCUCGAAUCCGGAGUUCGUAUUUGAGUAUCCAUCCUACUCGUGCGAAGUCUUUGCUUUCUUUCCUCAAUGAUUUCAAUCGGUGUUUUUUCUUCAAGAUAUUCACUACCCUUCCAGUUGCCUUUGUUUUUUUUCCCGCCCUCCCACCCUCUUCUUGCCGGAGUCUGAGUCUGUUUCGACUAUCUAUUUCAUUCGUGUGGAACCCUUCAGUCUUUCGUCAAUUAUUUCAACCGGUGAAUUCUCGUCUCAUUCGUCAUUCUUCAUCUCUUUUAUUCUCUGGUGGAUUCAAUUCAAGUUUUUUCGGGUUGAUCAUAUUCUUUUCCUCGGCUCAAGUGUUUUCCCUGCUCGUUCGCCUCUCGCCAUUUUAUCCUUCCGGAGUGCUCAGGACAUCUCAGGAGAUUCGUCUGCGUUCCAAGUAAUUCGAGAUUGUCACCUCAUUCAAAUAUUUCAGUUGUUCCGGUGCAUCAUCUAUCUGUUCAACAACCCUUUCCAACGGUGUUUUCUUUUAGUGGGCCCUAACCCACAGGUCUUUUCCCAGGAUCUUACCUGACUCUCCUAAUUCCCUCGGAGUUAUUUUCAAUUCUUUUCAAGUGUGAUGUAAGAAUGGAUCACAUCAGUCACAUGCCUUCUCCAAGAUCUCGUUCAAAUUCUUUUCAUUGUUAGCUCAACCUCUUCGCUUUUCAUUCUCCCGGAGUAUCUCAGUAAUUUUGGUGGUUUCUCGUCAUCAUUUGAAGAUAGAAGAAGAGUUUUUCCUCCAAAUCUUACCCGUUCUCCCGAAGAUUCAUGGUUCUAGCUUCAUUUUAUCCUCUCAAAUUAUUCCGUUUGUCAGAUAUUCUUUUCAUCCAUCUGAAGUAUGUCAGGAGUUGUUUUUCCAUUUCUCUUCACCGGAGGCCAUCAUUCUAGUUAUCGUUCUCUAUUUAUCUCGGUACUUCGUUCAAGUGUUCUUUAAUCAGCUCAUGAUCUCUUCGUUCUUUUGCAUCUAAAUCCCCUCUAGCUUAUUUAUUCUUCUAAUUCUUCCCGAUGAUUCAUUCACGUUCAUCAGUUAUUUCCGAAUUCUUACGGUGGUUCAUUCAAGAUUCUUUUCCUUCAUUAUCAUAUUAAUUCAGUCGUUCUUUUCAAUCCUACCGGUGGUUCAUGAAGACCUUCUCAAGUUUGCGAUAUGUCACUUCUCAAUCCUUUUCAAGAAGAAUAAGUAGUAUGCAAAAUCCAUUGCUUGUCAUCAAUUUAAUUUGAUGAAGGAUAAGCAUACAAUAAAUCUUAUUCUUAUUUCCUCAAGUGAGUAAUCCCUUCCUUCGGAGUUUGUUCUUGAUGAAUAAAUUCUAGUUCCAAGUCUUUUCAUCUUUUCUUUUCUGGAGUUCAAAUUUCCUCGGCCAUCUCGUCGGAACCUCCAUCUAAAUCACCGCAAGCUUUAAUCUCAUUCCUUUCAUCAUUCAUUCCUAUCUCCAUCCUUUUGUCACCGGAGUUCUUCAUGGUGGUUCUUCAUGAUUUAAUUCAUUUGUCAAGAGUUCAUCAAGAUUCUUAUCGAAGGAGCUCAAGUAUCCUUCUUCUUGCAUCUCAAAGUGCAAUUAAUUCUCGGUAUUAUUUUGAAGUGGAGUUGUGCAUUUCUUCGUUCCUCUCAGCUAUUCAAUCUUUUCUGCUUGUGGUUGGUUAUCACCUCAUAAUUUUGAGAUGUCAUCCAUAAGUCCACAACAACCUUUAUUCUUUUUGUUGUUGAAUUUUCUCAACAACUCCAUUCAAUCUUUUCUUCUAAGAUGCUUUCAAUUUCAUUUGUGGCACAAGUUGACAUUUUAUUCUCCGUUAUUUUCAUUCAACUCUUUUAAUUCUUUCCGGAGGUUUUGUGUCAUGUCUUCAUCAGGUAUCAUUCCAUCCUCUCAAGUUCUUGUUCUAAUCCUUUCAUGUUCAGCCGGAGUGCUGCCUAAAUCCUUUCAGUCUUAUUCGUUUCUAACUCGUUCUAACAGGAGUUGUUUCAUAGUCUAUCUGAAUUCGUGAGCUUUCGAUUCGUCAUCCUCGUCGUUCCUCUCUUCUUCUCGAGUGCUCUCAAUUCUUUGCUUCUUCUCUUGAGUUCUUGCUUCACCUCUUCCCUUUUCCCUUCCGUCUCGGUCCUAAGAUCUCGGGACAAGAUCCUCUCGUAGUGGUGGAGUGUUGUAACGCCCCGGAUACAACUUUCCAUAUUCGUAACUCCAACUCUUGCCUUUUCCGGAGAUGCGAUAUGAUAUUUUCCUUCGUGGUUGGGUUAUUGUCGUUUGUUUUGCAUUUUGUUCAUGCCAUGCAUCUCAUCUCAUAGCAUCAUGCGCAUUGCAUCUGCAUGUUUUCAUAAAACUCGUAGCCGUUCAUAGUUGCCCUUUCUCUCUUUGCCUCCGUUGUUAUUUUGUCAGGUCCUUGUCCUCGUUGACCUCUCUCAGACCCCCUCUUGCGCGCGUCCGAAAACUCCCCCGAAGUCGAACCUGGUUGUCGUGACCGUUGGGUUCGGAUCAUCCCCCAACAUCUAUAAAACAUCUCCGUUUUCUUAUUUGGACCCCCUAGCCUAUUUUUCUCGACCGCCCGAUUUCGCUCGGACGUACCGGGUUAACCCUGCCCUAAUCCUCCUUGCUAUAUAAAUAUGACCCAACCCUAAAUUUGAGGAGAGUUGUCCCAUCGUUCCCUCACCCGCCGCCGCCGCUCUCCCGCAUCCACCUUGGGAUCCCUCCCGAUCCAGUUUCCACCCGAGACCAAUCGCAGCCUCCAUCUUCUCCUCGUUCUCCCCACCAGCCCAACCGGAGCGCUCGAACAAGUGUCCUCCUUCCUCGGGAUCGACCCAGAUCCCACCUGGCCAAAUCCCCUCUCGCUCCCUCGUCCUCGCCCGCGUCCGAGCAAGAGGAGCUCGCUGCUCAAGCUCGAGCACGCACCCAGGACCCAUGGCGCCCCUCCCGUGCGCGCCUCCUCCUCCCGCUGCUCCCUGCGUCCCUUUUCGCGCUGUGCAACGCCCGAGGAGAGCCGAGCUCCUCCCGAUCCAGAGCUCCGCCGUCUUCCUCGCGACCCUCGCCGCCUCGUCUCACCGCCGACGAUCACCAGCACCUCCAGGUCACGCCACCGGGCCUCCCUCGCGCCCUCUCUUCCUUUCCCUCUCCCUGUCUCACCUCUCUCUGUCUCUCUUCGUCAGGGACAGGAACGAGGCAAGCCCGCGCGUCCUCCGCCAUGGAUCCAGGGCCUUGAUUCGUUCCCGGCCUCGCCUCUUCUCGCCGGAGUCCCAACCUCGCCGGAUCCAGCCGUCUCCGUCGUCCGCUAGCCUCCUAUCUGUCUCGAGCGCCAAGUCCCGCUCCCUGCUUACUUUGAAGUCGCUGCACCAAGCCCCGCCUCCUGCAUCCCUGCCUCGAGCACCAGUGCUCCAAGCCCGGCCCUUCUGUAGCUCGCCGGUGAGCACAUCUAGCCACCCGCGCCCGUGGUUCCCUCCUUUUUCUUCCCGUUUCUUAUCCCUGAAUCUCUUCUAUGAAUUCACUCGUCUCUUUGAAUUUCUUCACAGGAGUUGAGCCGCUGUCGUCCUGUUCGACUUCCUCCAUCAGGAACCAUCUCCCCUCGUCAGAUCCGGUGGAUCCUCGCCACCGUCCGCCGCCUGUAGGCCCCAUCUCGCCGCACCUCCCUCCGUUCCUUGAGCCCACGAUGCCGAAGUCCAUCGCGCCCAGCCGCCGGCGCUUGAACCUGCUUCUUCCUCUGUUCUUCAGUAACAAGAGCAGCAGCAGUUCGCUUGUCCCGCGCGUUGACCGCGCCACGCCAGCGCCUGGGCCGCGUCCCGCGAGCCGACCCAGCAGCUGCAUCCUGUCGGCCUGCUGCUACCUCUCCACAGUUCUGGGCUGAGGCCCAUGGUGAGCAGCACCCCCAGCCCCUUCUCUGUGUUCAGCCCAGCAGUGCUCCAGAUUCGGCCCGUGGAUGUUUUUUUCCCGUUCUGCGAUUUAGCGAUUUAUCCAGAGAGUGCAGUUUUACACAUUACCUCUCAUGUUCAUGCAUUUAAUAUCUCACAAACCGUGCAUCGGAUUAAAAUAUUUUAAAUAGGGAAAAUGCUUAGAAUUUCCUCUAGUUUCACAUAAUGCCAUUUUCAUCCAUGUUUAAAAUGUUUAAAAUGCUGUUUGUUUAAAUUUGUUCAAAUGCCAUGUUAAAAUGAUUUAUUUCAUAACUAAUUAACCGUAGCUCCGAAUUUAAUAAACUUUAUAUGUAUUUGGGGUGGAAAAAUGCAUAGAAUAACAUGGUCAACUUUAUUUUCCUGUUUAACAACUUUAAAAUAUGUUUUAGGGCAGAACAGUAGCAAAUUCAUAAAUUGCAUAUGAGGAUUUUCCGGAAAUGUUGUUUGUUGUUUCGGCCUCAUUCAAACUUGCCUAGUUUACUUUUGUUACACCCCUUGCCAUGUUUAACAACAUUUAACAUUGUUGUGUACCUAAACGAGAGCAAACUAAAUAACUCAGAUGUGGUGUUUCGCCAAUAUGCAACUCGUUGCAUAUUGAGCUCCACUUAAUUUGUAGGGUUGUUUGUUGCACUUUGUCAUGCCAUGCCUCAUUAAACCGGACAUGCAUCAUACUUGUUUGUGCAUCAUGCCAUGUUUAUGCUUAUGCAUUUACCAUGUUGUUUGUUUCUUUCCGGUGUUGCUUCUUAGUUCCGGUAAUGUUGUGAUUGUGUGGAUUCGUUCGACUGCUCCCGUUCGUCUUCUUCAUGGACUCGUUCUUCUUCCUAGCGGGAUCUCAGGCAAGAUGACCGCUACCCUGGAUCUCACUACUAUCAUUGCUAUGCUAGUUGCUUCGUUCUAUCGCUAUGCUGCGCCACCUAUCACUUGCUCUUCAAGCCUCCCAAAUUGCCAUGAACCUCUAACCUUUGACACCCUUCCUAGCAAACCGUUGUUUGGCUAUGUUACCGCUUUGCUCAGCCCCUCUUAUAGCAUUGCUAGUUGCAGGUGAAGUUGAAGAUUGCUCCAUGGUGGACAGGGUUAUGUUGGGAUAUCACAAUAUCUCUUAUUUAAUUAAUGCAUCUAUAUAUAUUGGUAAAGGGUGGAAGGCUCGGCCUUAUGCCUGGUGUUUUGUUCCACUCUUGCCGCCCUAGUUUCCGUCAUACCGGUGUUAUGUUCCCGGAUUUUGCGUUCCUUACGCGGUCGGGUGAUUUAUGGGACCCCCUUGACAGUUCGCUUUGAAUAAAACUCCUCCAGCAAGGCCCAACCUUGGUUUUACCAUUUGCCUCACCACCACCUAUACCUUUUCCUUGGGUCGGCCAACCCGAGGGUCAUCUUUAUUUUAGCCCCCCCGGGCCAGUGCUUCUCUAAGUGCUGGUCUGAACCGGGCAGACUGCGGGGCCCCCUCGGGGCAACUCGAGGUCUGGUUUUACUCGUAGGCUGACAUAUCCGGUGUUGCCCUGAGAACGAGAUAUGUGCAGCUCCUAUCGGGAUUGUCGGCGCAUCGGGCGGCUUUGCUGGUCUUGUUUUACCAUUGUCAAAAUGUCUUGUAAACCGGGAUUCCGAGACUGAUCGGGUCUUCCUGGGAGAAGGUAUAUCCUUCGUUGAUCGCGAGAGCUUAUCAUGGGCUAAGUUGGGACACCCCUGUAGGGUAUAAAAUUUCGAGAGCCGUGCCCGCGGUUAUGUGGCAGAUGGGAAUUUGUUAAUGUCCGGUUGUAGAUAACUUGACACCUGAUCCAAAUUAAAAUGCAUCAACCGCGUGUGUAGCCGUGAUGGUCUCUUCUCGGCGGAGUCCGGGAAGUGAACACGGUUUCUGUGUUAUGAUUGACGUAAGUAGGAACUCAGGAUCACCUCUUGAUCAUUACUGAUGUGACGGCGGCCCGAUCUUUCGAUGAGAGAGGGGAUAAAUAUCAAUUUGGUGGAUUUUGACCUUGAUGAUCCGGCUAUACCGUACCCGACGAUACGCCUCGACAAUCGCUAAACCAAUCUCCGAUGGUUAUUGACCUUGCCGUAGGCACGAUCAACCUGAACAACGAGGUUCGAGUUCCUGCAAGCAACCGAAGAACCAGCAAGAACAAAGGUGAAUUGCAACUGAAAUUGCGGAUGAUAAAUUGUGUACACGAACUAGAUGAAAAGUUGGGAUUCCACUGUGGAUCUGACAAGGCGGUAGUCCUACACGUCUCGUAGAUGCGAAUUGUAGCGAAACCUAGACAAUACAAUAAAACCCGAGUCUAAACCCUAAACUAUACUAGCUAUUUAUUAACUACUGCUUCCGGUCGAAGGCGGUAUCUGUUGUCCACAAAUCGGACUGCUCGAGGCCGUACGUGGCUAGUCUUCGUAGACUUUGCGGCAAGCACCUGGCGGCAUGGCCGAAAGCUCUAGGGCCCACCCACGUGGUAAUGUUGGGCCAUUAAUCCAAGUCUCUUGUCCUGGUGCACUUCAUGCAUGCGUACGUGACAUGCUUGGUGGAUAGGACGUGUGACAUGCAUGCAAGAGCGUUGCUCCAUUUGAUCUGAACCUUCUUUAAUCUUUCCUUUAUUCCUAAGUACAAGCAAAUCCAAACAUGAGUGUAAUAUUAUAUUCUCAUUAGUUAAAUCAUAUGCACGAAGAAGCGAUAGUACCUGGUCAUUAAUUUGUCUCGCCCGCGCUCUAGUAAUAGGACCAAGUGGAAUAACUGAUGUAGGAGUUGCGGCGGGUGUAACAAUAGAAGAGAUGUCCUCAUCAUCCCCCCCUUCUUGAAUCGAAGUCGUCCUCGACGGUACCUCGUCGUCAUCACCCAAAUAAGGCUUUAAAUCUGCAACGUUAAAUGUGGGACUAACCCGAAAUUCUGCAGGUAAAUCAAGCUUAUAUGCAUUCUCGUUAAUUUUUUCAAGCACUUUAAAAGGUCCAUCCGCACGAGGCAUUAAUUUUGACUUUUGUAAAUCAGGGAAACGGUCUUUUCACAAAUGCAACCAUACUAAAUCACCUGGUUCAAAAACAACACUUUUCCUUCCCUGACUACCAGCAAGUUUAUAUUUGGCAUUCAUGCGUUCAAUAUUUUUCUUAGUCAUCUCAUGCAUUUUUAAUACUAAUUCAGCACGUUCUUUAGCAUCAAGGUUUACCUUCUCCGAAGAUGGAAUAGGUAAUAAAUCAAUUGGUGCACGAGGUAUAAAUCCAUAAACAAUCUCAAAAGGGCAUAAUUUUGUGGUGGAAUGAACGGAACGAUUAUAAGCAAACUCUACAUGUGGUAGACAUUCUUCCCACAUUUUUAAGUUCUUCUUCAAAACAGCCCUAAGCAUAGUAGACAAUGUACGAUUAACCACUUCAGUUUGACCAUCAGUUUGAGGAUGACAUGUAGUACUAAAUAAAAGCUUACUCCCCAAUUUUGUCGACAACACCCUCCAAAAGUGGCUAAGGAAUUUUGUGUCACGAUCAGAAACAAUUGUAUUUGGCACACCAUGUAAACGAACUACUUCGCGAAAGAACAAAUCAACAAUGUGAGUAGCAUCGUCACUUUUAUGACAAGGUAUAAAAUGUGCCAUCUUAGAGAAUCUAUCGACAACAACAAAUAUACUAUCUCUCCCCCGUCGCGUUCUAGGCAGUCCUAAUACAAAGUCCAUAGAUAUAUCUUCCCAAGGAGUGCUAGGAACAGGAAGAGGCAUAUAUAAACCAUGUGGGUUCAUUCGUGACUUAAGCUUUUUGGCAUGUCGUGCAGCGUGCAACAUAUCUCUCCACAUCCCUUCUCAUUUUUGGCCAGAAGAAAUGACUAGCAAGGAUGUCUUCUGUCUUCUUGACGCCAAAAUGUCCCAUAAGUCCUCCUCCAUGCGCCUCCUGUAACAACAAAAGACAAAUAGAGCUAUCUGGGAUGCAUAGCUUGUUAGCGCGAAAAACAAAUCCGUCAUUAAUGACGAACUUGUUCCAAGUUCUACCCUCUCUGCAAUUGAGCAAUAUAUCUUUAAAGUCAACAUCAUUAGCAUAUUGCUCUUUUAUAGUUUCAAGUCCAAAAAUUUUGAAGUCAAGUUGUGAUAACAUAGUAUAGCGUCUAGACAAGGCAUCGGCAAUAACAUUCUCCUUCCCUUUCUUGUGUUUAAUAACAUAAGGAAAGGAUUCAAUAAAUUCAAACCAUUUUGCAUUUCUACGAUUCAGUUUGCUUUGACUUCUAAUAUGCUUGAGUGAUUCAUGAUCAGAAUGUAUGACAAACUCCUUAGGUCAUAAAUAAUGUUGCCAUGUCUCCAAAGUCCGAACUAGUGCAUAAAGUUCUUUAUCAUACGUUGAAUAAUUCAGACUAGGCCCACUGAGCUUUUCACUAAAGUAUGCUACUGGUUUUCCUUCUUGCAAUAAAACACCACCUAAACCAAUGCCGCUAGCAUCACAUUCUAAUUCAAACAUCUUAUUAAAAUCAGGUAAUUGCAGCAAAGGGGCGUGUGUAAGCUUAUCUUUAAGAAUAGUGAAGGCUUCCUCUUGUGCGUCGCUCCAAACAAAUGGCACAUUUUUCUUUGUGAGCUCGUUGAGCGAUGCUGCGAUGGUACUAAAAUCUUUCACGAACCGCCGGUAGAACCCGGCAAGUCCAAGAAAACUUCGUACCUGUGUGACCGAGUUAGGGGUCGGCCAACUCUGGAUCGCUUCAACCUUGGCUUUAUCAACUUCAAUUCCCUACGCUAUCACAACAUAGCCAAGAAAAGUGACUCGAUCCGUGCAAAAAGUGCACUUCUCGAUAUUACCAAAUAAACGUGCAUCACACAGAGCAGAAAAAACAACACGCAAAUGGUCUAAGUGUUCCUCUAGUGACUUGCUAUAAAUCAAAAUAUCAUCAAAAUAUACUACCACAAAUCGUCCAAUGAAAGCUCACAAAACUUCAUUCAUUAGUCUCAUGAAAGUACUAGGUGCAUUAGUCAAUCCAAAAGGCAUAACUAACCACUCGUAUAAACCAAAUUUAGUUUUGAAAGCAGUUUUCCAUUCAUCACCUAGUUUCAUACGAAUUUGAUGGUAUCCACUACGCAAGUCCACUUUAGAAAACACAACUGAGCCACUGAGUUCAUCAAGCAUGUCAUCUAAUCUGGAAUAGGAUGACGAUAUCAAAUUGUAAUAUUAUUAAUGGCUCUACAAUCAACACACAUACGCGAAGUACCGUCUUUUUUAGGAACUAGUAAAAUUGGUACAGCACAUGGACUAAGGGAUUCGCGAAUGUAACCUUUUUCGAGUAGUUCUUGAACUUGUCGCUGAAUCUCCUUAGUCUCCUCGGGAUUAGUCCGGUACGGUGCACGGUUGGGUAGUGAGGCGCCGGGUAUCAAGUCAAUUUGGUGUUCAAUUCCUCUCAUAGGUGGCAGCCCCGGUGGUACUUCCUUUGGAAAAACAUCAUGAUACUCCUGCAAAAGGUUAGCGAUAACAGGAGGCAAAGAAGAAGGCAUAUCCUCAAAUGAAAACAAAACUUCUUUGCAGAUAAGAGCAUAACAUUCAUCAAUUUGAGCAUCUAACUCAAAAAUUUCAGCACGUGUAGCUAAGAAAGAAGCACCUUUCAAUUUAAUUUCUUUAGAUGUGCUAGGAUCAGAUUUGUGCAUCUUAUUAAAUUGUUCUAACUCAUCAACAACUUUCUGAUUUUCAGAUUUAGUACACUGAAUAUUUGUGUUUCUACUAGCCCUAGCAAGAUCAUCUUUUAAAAUUUGCUCAGGAGACAUAGGGUGUAGAAUGAUUUUCUUUCCUUUAUGUGUGAGGGUGUACUGAUUAGUUCUACCAUCAUGUAAACAUUGUUUAUCAUAUUGCCAUGGCCUUCCUAGUAACAUAGAACAAGCUUGCAUAGGCACAAUAUCGCAAUCAAUAGUGUCAUGGUAUGAACCUAAAGAAAAAGGAACUCUCACCAUGCGUGUCACCUUUACCUUUCCACCAUCAUUAAACCAUUGAAUGUCGUACGGUUGCGGAUGUUGUCGCGAAGGUAGGGAGAGCUUCUCCACCAUGUUAAUGCUUGCUAAAUUGUUACAACUCCCUCCAUCAAUGAUUAUGCGAACGGAACGCUCCUUGACGACUCCUUUGAUGUGGAAGAGGUUGUGACGUUGAUCCUUCUUUGCUUUGACAAUCUGAGCACUAAGUACACGAUGUGAUAUAAGACUCAUGUACUUAUCGGCGUCGUCGGCGGUCACAUGUUCUUCCUCUUGCUCCGGUCUUGUGACAUCGUCUUCAUGUGCAGCAAGCAAGGCAUAUGUGUCUUCAUCAAAAUCACUAGCGGAGUCGUACUCGCCGUCUUCACGAAUGAUCAACACACGCUUAUUAGGACACUCCUUCAUGACAUGGCCAAAUCCCUUGCAAGUGUGGCAUUGGAUAUCCUUUGUUCUUUUGGAGGAAGCGGACGAUGAUGACGAACUUUUUGUUGGAAUUGGUGUAGUACUUUUUAGUGGUGCCGAAGUGUGUGAUGCUGAAGUUGAGGAAGAAGGCCCCAGUCGAGAGGUUGCAGGUGCUGUUGUAGAGGUGCGAGUGGACGUGGCAGCAGGGGUGCGUGACGCCCAUGUGGAAGUACGACCUGCAGAAAAAUUAGGACGCAUUCUCGAACGACCCUGCACUUCAUGUUCAGCAUGUAUAGCAAGAUGGAAUAAACGGGUCAUUGAAUGAUAAUCCUUAUAAGCAAGUAUGUCAUAAAUUUCUCUAUUCAAUCCACCCAAGAACCUAGCCAUAGAGGCUUCCUCAGUCUCAACUAAACCACAACGUAACAUGCCCAUUUGCAAUUCUUGAUAAUAGUCUUCAACGGAUUUAGAUCCUUGGUUCAAGCAUUGUAGUUUAUUUAGCAAGUCACGUUCAUAAUAUCCAGGAACAAAACGGUGACGCAUUACUAAUUUCAAAGCUUCCCAAGUGGCAGGAAUAUUAUUAGGAUGUUUACGACAAUGUUCUCUCCACCAAAUAGAAGCAAAAUCACUAAACUCACUAGUUGCAGCCCUAACUCUUUUAUCACCAGGAAAAUCAUCGCAAGUAAAUUUUUGAUCAACUAGUAAUUCCUAGUCAAGAUAAACAUCUGGAUCAUAUUUCCCAUCAAAAGGAGGCAUGACAAAUUUAAUUCUACCCAAAGAGUCGUCAUGGCCACGUACCUGAGGACGCUGGGGUCGUCCCAUACCUUGUUGAUUAUUGCGUAGUCGACGAUGAUCACGAUCAUUGUUAUCAUUAACUGCAUCAGGAUCCUCGGAAUCACCAUCAUAGUUGUCAUCUUGGAUGUCGCCGGCUAUCGAGGUGGCGUUGCGAGGACGGGGCUGCUCGACGGCAUCGGUGUAUGAAAGAGGGUGCCUCAGGUCUCCUGGGGGUACCCGACGAGCUCGUUGUAGACCUGUGUUGGUGGCUGGAAGAUGCGGAGCGGAAGUGGAGGCGGCACCUAGACGGGCAUCCUGGGCAUCAAGACGUUUCAUAAUAGAUGCAAGUGUUUGGGUGAACGUCUCAUUGCUAUCCUCGAUCGACUUGAGACGCUUAUCAAGUGCGCCCUCGAACGAUGUGAACCGCUCGGUGUAUGCAUGCACAUCCUCCUCAAGGCGUGCCACCGGGGCUUUCAUGUUGUCUUCGUCACCUGCCAUGGUUAGGACGGAACAAGAACAAAAUCACAAGUAUAUGGCUCCUACAGUAACUACAGUGAGGCGGUGGAAAAUGUCUCUCAACUCUCAAGCAAUUACCAAACUCUUACCAGUUCUUACCGUGCUGCAGUGGUUGUCGGCCGUUGGCGAUGUCAAAAGUGAUCAAAAGAUUGAUACAACGAUUACCAAGUGACCGAACAAGAUACAAUAUAGGAAGUGGAGCUCGGUGAUGGUUCCCUCAACUCACAAUAUGUGGCACAAUUAAGCAAAAAGUAAUGCAAGCUGAAUAAUUGCUCAAACUCCUAACUAGUGCUGGUAGUCGACUAGUAAGAGAUAAAACAAUCUAAGCCUAGAUACUGAAUCAAGGGAGUGGAAACCGAUAAAAAUAUAAUAGCUCUAAAUAGCUAAAUAUAAGUGAGGUGUGAACGUAGCGUAUGGCGACCAAGAGCAACAAAAGAAAAUGUCCAGCAAAUAUCACGUGUAUAGCAGAGGAACAAUUCUGAACGUCAAAAGAGAUUGCACCAAGAGUGCUAGCCGGCCUGAAUGUUGCAACCCUUUUUUUUUCUAUUUUUUUGUCUUUUUUUCCUUUUUUUCUUUUGCUUCACUUUUUUUUUUCUUUUUUUAACAGGCCAGUCGCUAGCAGAAAUCACAGACACAAUUUAAGUCACAAGAGAUAAGAUGCAAGGCUACUGGACAAGGUGCAACGAUAGCUAGCUACAAGCACUUGAUUGUGGAGAUUAGCGUGGACUAGUACUAAUACACAGGCACAGCCUGAUGGAAAUCGGUGGGCGUGUCGCGCGUGGAGACAGACUGACACGGCUGGAUGUCUGAUGGUUUGCGUCUUGCUUGGUGUGAAGCCACGCUAAGGACCAGACUGCGUGUGCUGGGAUGUCUGGCAGCUCGCGAAACGCGAUGUGUGUAUGGAUGCACGUACGCAGGCUCAAGUUGACCUGGUCCGAAGUACUGUUGUGGAGCAGCGCCUGUACGCGUGCAAAACGAUGCAAACUUGUUUUUUUUCCUCUAGAUUACCGAGGAAUUUGCGGCAGAAGAUAUGGUGGACAAAAACAAGUGCGAUCUAGUAGACAAUUUUCUUCCCAAACGAAUCUAAACCAGCACUAAUACUAGGAUGAAUGCAACCAAAAAUUCAGCUACGCAAAUACUAGAUGCUAAAAUUGCUAAAGGCUAAAAAGGUAGGUGUAAUGGAUGAACUAAUCUAUUUCUUUUUGGCUUUUUCGUGGGUUUAUGGGACAGAAAAUAACUAAUCUAACAAAACUGUAAAUCUCUCACCGAUGAACCUGAAAACUGAUACCACUUGAUGUGACAGCGGCCCGAUCUUUCGAUGAGAGAGGGGAUACAUAUCGAUUUGGUGGAUUUUGACCUUGACGAUCCGGCUAUACCGUACCCGACGAUACGCCUCGACAAUCGCUAAACCAAUCUCCGAUGGUUAUUGACCUUGCCGUAGGCACACUCAACCUGAACAACGAGGUUCGAGUUCCUGCAAGCAACCGAAGAACCAGCAAGAACAAAGGUGAAUUGCAACUGAAAUUGCGGAUGAUAAAUUGUGUACACGAACUAGAUGAAAAGUUGGGGUUCCACUGUGGAUCUGACAAGGCGGUAGUCCUACACGUCUCGUAGAUGCGAAUUGUAGCGAAAGCUAGACAAUACAAUAAAACCCGAGUCUAAACCCUAAACUAUACUAGCUAUUUAUUAACUACUGCUUCCGGUCGAAGGCGGUAUCUGUUGUCCACAAAUCGGACUGCUCAAGGCCGUACGUGGCUAGUUUCGUAGACUUUGCGGCAAGCACCUGGCGGCGUGGCCGAAAGCUCUAGGGCCCACCCACGUGGUAAUGUUGGGCCAUUAAUCCAAGUCUCUUGUCCUGGUGCACUUCAUGCAUGCGUACGUGACAUGCUUGGUGGAUAGGAUCGUGUGACAUGCAUGCAAGAGCGUUGCUCCAUUUGAUCUGAACCUUCUUUAAUCUUUCCUUUAUUCCUAAGUACAAGCAAAUCCAAACAUGAGUGCAAUAUUAUAUUCUCAUUAGUUAAAUCAUAUGUACGAAGAAGCGAUAGUACCUGGUCAUUAAUUUGUCUCGCCCGCGCUCUAGUAAUAGGACCAAGUGGAAUAACUAAUGUAGGAGUUGCGGCGGGUGUAACAAUAGAAGAGAUGUCCUCAUCAAUUACUAGUUGACGACCGUUCCUUUGUUUCUCUUCUCGGUCUCAUUUGCGUAUGUUAGCCACCAUAUAUGGUUAGUCGCUGCUGCAACCUCACCACUUUACCCCUUCCUUUCCCUUUAAGCUUUGCUAGUCUUGAUACCCAUGGUAAUGGGAUUGCUGAGUCCUCGUGGCUCACAGAUUACUACAACAACAGUUGCAGGUACAGGAUUAUGCGUUGAUCUUGACGCGAGAGCGAUGUUGCUUGUUUUGGAGUUCUUCUUCUGCUUCUUCUUCGAUCAGGGGAUAGGUUCCAGGUCGGCAGCCUGGGCUAGCAGGGUGGAUGUCGUUUGAGUUUCUGUUUAUGUUUCAUCCGUAGUCGGAUGGUUGCUCUUAUGUAUGAUGUAUUGAUGCAUUCUUGUGGCAUUGUAUGCCUUAUGUAUGUAUCCCCAUCUAUUAUGUAAUGUUGAUGUAAUGAUAUCCACCUUGCAAAAGGGUCUUCAAAAUGCGCUUCUAUCCUUGGUGGGACCUUCGAGUUCUUUAGGAUAGGGUCGCAUCUUGGGCGUGACAGACACGGUGUUGAGAUCCACCUUCAUGAUCUCCACCCCGGUCAUCAUGCUCGCGAGAGCCUCUUCUUUCGCCUUGGUCUUGGCGUUGGCGGCCUCAAUCUCAAGCAUCUUGGUUUGCUUCUCUGCCUCUAGCUCAAACAUCUUGGCUUGCUUCUCGGCGUCCAGGUCAAGCCUCCUCCUUUGGAUCUCCAUGAAAGCGUCCAUUUGCUCCGCCUUGAAACGCCGGCGCUUCUCCUCCCUUGAGUCCUUCUUGUCCAUCAUGCCGUCCACGCUUGCGAUCAAAGCGUUGGUGGCUGCAUCUCGCUUGUCCUCUUUCUUGGAGUUGGUCUUCCCCCGCGGCCGUGCCGGCUCGCCCUCCCCAACAUCCUCCACGGCUUUCUUCCCCCCACGCGACUUGAGUGCGGCAUAUUGCGCCUUGAACUUCUCCUCGUCCUUGAUGACCCGAUAGCAAUGGGAGAGGUUGAAGAACUUGCCAUUGUGUUGCACCUUGAAUGCCUCCAAAGCUUGAAAUGCCUACAAAAUGUUUCCAUGCAAGCAUAUGGCCAAGUGAUAUGCAAAUGGACACGCAAAGGAUGAACUUGAUGACACAAAAGAGGGCGGCUUGCUAGCAUACCAUGUCUUGCAUGCCGAUGCCGCUCACGGGGCGGGCUUUGACACUCCUAAGAGUGGCGCAAAACUUGUUGCACUCUUGUUGGAUCAUCCUCCACCGCUUGGAAAUGGAGACCCACCCGCGUGUGCUCACAAAUUGGUACGGCGGAAACUUCUUGCGCCCAUGAAACUCUCGGUGGACACGAAUCCAAAAGGUUGAAUGCUUUUGCUCGGCGCCCGUCUUGGGGUCUUGUCCAAUGUCUCGCCAACACUCGCAAAGAAGCUUGUCCUCGGCCGCCGUGUACGCCUUCGUACACUUGCUCUUGCGCUUCGGCUUAGGAUCGGCGGCUUGGUUGGCGAGCUCGUCCUUGAACAAAGGCUCCACGUCGAUGUCGCACUCGUCCUCUUCCUCUAGCCCGUAGUCGUCCGGAAACUCGUGGUCAAGGGGGAAGCCAUCCAGGUCGAUGCCGGCCUGAUCACGCAUGAAGGCCGCCUGGUCGGGAUCAUAGCCAGCGGCCGGCGUGAACGCCCCGCGGCCGUCCUGGCUUUGUGUCUCGUCGGCAUCGUAGCCAGUGGCCGGCACACUGCCCUCGAAGAUGAGGUUCUGCAUGUAGUCCUCGUCGGCGGCUUGCGGUAUUUCCUCGAACAAGUUGCGGGCGUCCGGGAGCACGCCGGCCGGCGUCUGCCGCACGCGUUUCCUCACGCCGCUGGAUGACGAGCCACCGGCCACCGGGGUGGAGUUGAGGUCGAUGGGCGCGGGCGUGGAAGGCGCGAUCAUGCUCACUUCGGGUGAGCACUCCCCGAAGAGGCGGGAGGCCUGCGGGUAGACGUGGAAGCCGGGGAUCGGGUUGCAAGCUGACCCGCGGGGCGAGUCGGGUAACACCAUUCAAGGAAACGCCGACAGCCGGUGUUGGACGCGGCGACGGCGGCUUGGAGGAGGCCGUGCUAGCUAGGGUUUAAACCUAGCAUGUAGAGCGCCUCCCUCGUUGCCGCCACGACGUGGGCGUUGAUGACCUCCUGCUGCGUGGCGGCAACGACGACGGCCUGAGCGACGACCUCAUCCCUCGCGUCCGCGGCGUGCCUCCGACCCUUCCUCUUGGCCGACUCGCAUGCCCGCUGUUCGGGCGCAGCGCCUUCUUUGGCUUGGUCGUGGCGACCAUCUUGCGCGGGCACGAGGCUUGCCCUUCCCGGCGCGGGCGGCGGCGCCGGACGAGGCGAGGGAGGCGAGGUCGGCGGCGGCGUCGAGGUCGAUGUCGUCGUCUAUGGCUGGUUGGGGCGGGAGCGAGCGCGCGGGGGCGGGGUGUUUUUCGAGAAAAUGAGGGGAAAUUGUGGUGGCUGCCACCGACCGGCGGGCCCGGGGAGAGGAGUAGGCGCGCGCGCAUCCGUCUUGUGUCCGUGCGGACGUAAAUCCGGCUAAAAAAUGGGUCGGGAAUGGAUCGCCAUGCGGACGUUAAGCGGACACGCGUCCGUUUGGGUCGGCGCGUUGGGCCGCCUUUUGUGUCCGCGCUGACCCAAACGAACGGCGGCGGAUGAAAUGGGUCGCCCCGUUGGAGUUGCUUUUAUAGGAUGUAUAUACGAGGGACGCGCGAUGUAAGGAUAUAUGUACUGUAGGACGCAAGCUGCUUACCGGUCCGACUUCCUCGCGGCGUCGUUGAGGAGCUCUAGUUAUGAAUUCCAGACGAACACGGACAGGGAGAACACGACGCCCAUGUCUCAUCACGUAAGCUGACACGCGGCAGCCGAACUGAGCAGGUUAUAUUGCUGUAGCCGCGGUUGCCAAAUCCGGCAGUCUGUACAGUGAUCAGGCAAUCCUCAAAGGCGACGGCUAGGAAUUAAUUGGAUGAUUUCUCAUCCUUCUAGCUAGCCGUCCGAUCCCAAACUCGUAACCGUGCGAUCUUUUGUUCAUAUGGUCCUUUCUCACGCCCCGUGCACGUUAGCAUCAGCAGCGGCCUGGCCCCUCCAUUGCAGCCACAACUACAGCGGCUUCCUUGCAGCAUCAUUUAGGAGCUCCAGUUACGAAUUCCAGACGGCUCGGACAGGGAGAACCACAACGCCCACAUCUUUUCUUCACCUAAGACCUAAGAGCAUCUAAAGCCAGACUUUACAAAUCCGGCCCCUCAAACACCCGCAAACGCGCCGGCGGACACUAACCGGUCAAGCUUCAAAUUUGCACUCUCACAAUCGGACACAUCAAUUAUCAUAUCUUAAAUCCAUACAAACUCACGCAAGUACGUAGAUGUAUUACACACAUUUUCCGACUACUCAUCACUACUAACAUGCCAUCGGACAACCAAAAUUUAGCAUGUUUGGCUAUGGUGGAGAUAAUCCACGGCUGCCCUUGCCCGACGCCCUUGUCGUCCUUCUCGCGGAAUUACCGGUCGAAGACGCGGUAGGGACCAAGCCGGAUCUGGUCGUUGUCGGAGCUGUCCUUACCGUCGUUGUCCUCCUUUUCCUCCUUUGGUGGCAAUUCGGCCAUGGCACGGACCGCCCGAUUCUGCUCACGGGCGUGUGUUCCUCUGUUGUUGUUUUUUCACAAUGCAUAUGCGGAUGGCUUCCUCGUCUGCGCCCACCCGCGCCGCCGCCUCCGUCUCCUCCAUUUCCGCCGUGAUACGGGCCUCAACGCUCCUUACUCUCUCCUUCCCACGGAGGGCACACCGGUUCUGGUGGGACUCAUAGUCCGCCCGACCGGUGAUGGGGAAGGAGAGAUUUUUUGUCUGUCGGGACCGCGAUGAUCCAGCCCUAGAGGACCCGGAGCGCCCGUUGAGCCGACCCUAUGGAGUAGCGCGGGACAGAUCCCACCGUCGGCCAGGUGCUGGCAUCCCGGGAGCGGCGGAGUGCAAUGCAGACCGCCAUUGCCUCCUCCAACCCGCAUGGGAUGACACCCCAGUCGACGGAUCCGGGCUGGUCGGAGUCAGAUCCGUUGCCCGCCAUGCCGGAGACGACCAGAAAUCGCCAGAGGCGAUCUUGGGUGGCGGGUGGAGUGGAGUGUGAAGUGGCUAGGGUUUGGUCCGGCGAGCGAAUUGGGAGAAAUAUGGGUCGGGUGGGCCAGCAUAGUCUGGGUCUAACGUGGCGGACGCGCUUGGGCACCCUGAUACGUCUCCAACGUAUCUAUAAUUUUUGAUUGUUUCAUGCUAUUAUAUUAUGUGUUUUGGAUGUUUAAUGGGCUUUAUUAUACACUUUUAUACUAUUUUUAGGACUAACCUAUUAACCGGAGGCCCAGUCCAAAUUGCUGUUUUUUUGCCUAUUUCAGUGUUUCGCAGAAAAGGAAUAUGAAAUGGAGUCCAAACGAAAUGAAACCUUCGGGAGAGUCGUUUUUGGAACAAACGCAAUCCAGGAGACUUAGAGUGGACAUCAAGGAAGCAACGAGGCGGCCACGAGGCAUGGAUGGGCGCCCAGGGGGUUGUUGGAAAUAUGCCCUACAGGCAAUAAUAAAAGUAUUAUUAUUAUAUUUCCUUGUUCAUGAUAAUUGUCUUUUAUUCAUGCUAUAACUGUAUUAUCCGGAAAUCGUAAUACACGUGUGAAUACAUAGACCACAAUAUGUCCCUAGUGAGCCUCUAGUUGACUAGCUCGUUGUGAUCAACAGAUAGUCAUGGUUUCCUGGCUAUGGACAUUGGAUGUCGUUGAUAACGGGAUCACAUCAUUAGGAGAAUGAUGUGAUGGACAAGACCCAAUCCUAAGACUAGCACAAAAGAUCGUGUAGUUCAUUUGCUAGAGCUUUGCCAAUGUCAAGUAUCUCUUCCUUUGACCAUGAGAUCGUGUAACUCCUGGAUACCGUAGGAGUGCUUUGGGUGUAUCAAACGUCACAACGUAACUGGGUGACUAUAAAGGUGCACUACAGGUAUCUCCGAAAGUAUCUAUUGUUUUAUGCGGAUCGAGACUGGGAUUUGUCACUCCGUGUAAACGGAGAGGUAUCUCUAGGCCCACUCGGUAGGACAUCAUCAUAUGCGCAAUGUGACCAAGGAGUUGAUCACGGGAUGAUGUGUUACGGAACGAGUAAAGUGACUUGCCGGUAACGAGAUUGAACAAGGUAUUGGUAUACUGACGAUCGAAUCUCGGGCAAGUAAAAUACCGCUAGACAAAGGGAAUUGUAUACGGGAUCGAUUGAGUCCUUGACAUCGUGGUUCAUCCGAUGAGAUCAUCGUGGAACAUGUGGGAGCCAACAUGGGUAUCCAGAUCCCGCUGUUGGUUAUUGACCGGAGAAUGUCUCGGUCAUGUCCGCAUGUCUCCCGAACCCGUAGGGUCUACACACUUAAGGUUCGAUGACGCUAGGGUUAUAAAGGAAGCUUGUAUGUGGUUACCGAAUGUUGUUCGGAGUCCCGGAUGAGAUCCCGGACGUCACGAGGAGUUCCGAAAUGGUCCGGAGGUAAAGAUUUAUAUAUAGGAAGUCCUGUUUCGGCCAUCGGGACAAGUUUCGGGGUCAUCGGUAUUGUACCGGGACCACCGGAAGGGUCCCGGGGGCCCGCCGGGUGGGGCCACCUGCCCCGGGGGGCCACAUGGGCUGUAGGGGGUGCGCCUUGGCCUACAUGGGCCAAGGGCACCAGCCCCUAGAGGCCCAUGCGCCAAGAUAUAGGAAAAAGGGGAGAGUCCUAAAGGGGGAAGGCACCUCCGAGGUGCCUUGGGGAGGAUGGACUCCUCCCCCCCUCUUAGCCGCACCCCUUUCUUGGAGGAAGGGGCAAGGCUGCGCCUCCCCCCUCUCCCCUGCCCCUAUAUAUAGUGGAGGGGAGGGAGGGCAUCCACACCUGAGCCCUUGGCACCUCCCUCCCUCCCGUGACACCUCCUCCUCUCCCGUAGGUGCUUGGCGAAGUCCUGCAGGAUUGCCACGCUCCUCCAUCACCACCACGCCGUCGUGCUGCUGCUGGAUGGAGUCUUCCUCAACCUCUCCCUCUCUCCUUGCUGGAUCAAGGCGUGGGAGACAUCGUCGAGCUGUACGUGUGUUGAACGCGGAGGUGCCGUCCGUUCGGCACUAGGAUCAUCGGUGAUCUGAAUCACGGCGAGUACGACUCCAUCAACCCCGUUCACUUGAACGCUUCCGCUUAGCGAUCUACAAGGGUAUGUAGAUGCAAACUCUCUCCCUUGACUCGUUGCUUAGAUGAACUCAUAGAUGGAUCUUGGUGAAACCGUAGGAAAUUUUUUAAUUUUCUGCUACGUUCCCCAACAGGGGUAGGCGCACUCCCCACCCUCGUGGGCCCCUUGUGGCUCCCCUGACCGACUUCUUUCACCUAUGUAUACUCAUAUACCCUGAAAACAUCUGAGAGCACCACGAAACCCUAUUUCCACCACCGCAACCUUCUGUACCCGUGAGAUCUCAUCUUGGGGCCUUUUCCGGCGCUCCGCCGGAGGGGGAAUCGAUCACAGAGGGCUUCUACAUCAGCACCAUAGCCUCUCUGAUGAAGUGUGAGUAGUUUAUCUCAGACCUUCGGGUCCAUAGUUAUUAGCUAGAUGGCUUCUUCUCUCUCUUUGGAUCUCAAUACAAAGUUCUCCUCGAUCUUCUUGGAGAUCUAUUUGAUGUAAUACUUUUUGCUGUGUGUUUGUCGAGAUCCGAUGAAUUGUGGGUUUAUGACCAAGAUUAUCUAUGAACAAUAUUUGAAUCUCCUCUGAAUUCUUUUAUGUAUGAUUUGUUAUCUUUGCAAGUCUCUUCGAAUUAUCAGUUUGGUUUGGCCUACUAGAUUGAUCUUUCUUGCAAUGGGAGAAGUGCUUAGCUUUGGGUUCAAUCUUGCGGUGUCCUUUCCCAAUGAUAGCAGGGGCAGCAAGGCACAUAUUGUAUUGUUGCCAUCGAGGAUAAAAAGAUGGGGUUUAUAUCAUAUUGCUUGACUUUAUCCCUCUACAUCAUGUCAUCUUGCCUAAUGCGUUACUCUGUUGUUAUGAACUUAAUACUCUAGAUGCAUGUUGGAUAGCGGUCGAUGUGUGGAGUAAUAGUUGUAGAUGCAGAAUUGUUUCGAUCUACUUGUCGCAGACGUGAUGCGUAUAUAUAUAUGAUCAUGACUAGAUAUUCUCAUAACUAUGCACUUUUCUAUCAAUUGCUCGAUAGUAAUUUGUUCACCCACCGUAAUACUUAUGCUAUCUUGAGAGAAGCCACUAGUGAAACCCAUGGCCCCCGGGUCUAUUUUCCAUCAUAUAAGUUUCCGAUUUGUUUUAUUUUGCAAUCUUUACUUUCCAAUCUAUAUCAUAAAAAUACCAAAAAUAUUUAUCUUAUUAUCUCUAUCAGAUCUUACUUUUGCAAGUGGCCGUGAAGGGAUUGACAACCCCUUUAUCGCGUUGGUUGCAAGGUUCUUAUUUGUUUGUGUAGGUACGAGGGAUUUGAGUGUAGCCUCCUACUGGAUUGAUACCUUGGUUCUCAAAAACUGAGGGAAAUACUUACGCUACUUUGCUGCAUCACCCUUUCUUCUUCAAGGGAAAACCAACGCAUGCUCAAUAGGUAGCAAGAAGGAUUUCUGGCGCCGUUGCCGGGGAGUCUACGCACAAUUCAAGACAUACCAAGUACCCAUCACAAACUUUUAUCCCUCGCAUUACAUUAUUUGCCAUUUGCCUCUCGUUUUCCUCUCCCCCACUAAACCCUUGCCGUUUUAUUCGCCCUCUCUUUUCCGUUUCGCUUGCUUCUUGUGUCGUCGUUCGUCGUCAUGGCUAGUCCUUCUAUCAUUGUUAGUACUCCCGAUCAUGAAGUUCUUAAUUUUAAACAAAGGGAGGGAGAAAACCUAAAAGAUGCUUGGCAUAGAAUUUGCAAUGCUCAGAAUAGAUCUACUAGGAAGCAAUCUACUUCCGUUCUUCUUCACAAUUUUUAUGUAGGCAUUACUCCUUGAAAUAGAUAUAUUCUUGAUACCAUUACCGGAGGGAAUUUCUUGGGUAGCCAUACUUUUGAUUCUUAUAAUGCUAUGAUAGAUUUAUUUGGUCCACCACCUCUUUUGGUUAAUGGAACUGUUUUAACUUUGGAACAUGUGAUGCAAAGGCUUGAAAUUAUUGAAAAUAAAGUUUCCACUGUAGAGUUAAUUGAAAAUUUGGAUAAAAAGAUCCACAACCAAAUUACCCAAUAUGGAGCUAAGGUUGGAGUUACUCUGAAAAAUCUUAAAGAAAAGGAACCUAUAGUUAACAAAAAAAUAGAUCAAGAUUCCACAAGAAUCGGUAAACUUGAGGAUAUUAUUACCAACUUAGGGUCUGCCUUUUCUUCCAUGAAAAAUAUUCCAAAUCCUCCUACUACCAAAAUUGCCAAAUUAAUGUAUGUUCCUAGAAAUAAGGGUGAAUCUUCUAGUAAGGAAAAUGCGGAUCUCAAAUCAAUAAGUGUUCACCCUAGUUUUUUCGCUAUCAAUAAGGAACCUUUUGCUACAAAUGAAUUUCUUGAUUUCUUGCCUAGGAGUUUAAUAAUUACUAAAAAGAGGGAAACUUCUAAGGGUUAUAAGUGUUCUAUUGAAGAAUUGAAUAUCAAAGAUGGCAAUACUUAGAUCUAUUCUCGCUUUUAUGCCUAACUUCGGGCGUUAAACGAUAGCGCUUGUUGGGAGGCAACCCAAUUUUAUUUUUGUUGUUUGCUUUUUGUCCCUAUUUAGUAAUAAAUAAUUCAUAUAGCCUCUGGUUAGAUGUGGUUUUAUGUUUUAAUUAGUGUUUGUGCCAAGUAAAACCUUUAGGAUAACCUACGGUGAUAGUCAAUUUGAUCUUGCUGAAAAACAGAAACUUUUGCAUGCACGAGAAUAAUUUUCAUAAAUCACAGAGACGUGAUUUUCCGUUGAUUCUUUUUGAAUAAGAUUAAUAAAAAAUUAUAUAGGACUUACUAUUUUUGUAGAAUUGUUGGGGUUCCAGAAGUAUUCUAAACGUACAGAUUGCUACAGACUAUUCUGUUUUUGACAGAUUCUGUUUUUCGUGUGUUGUUUGCUUAUUUUGAUGAAUCUAUGGCUAGUAUCGGGGGGUAUGAACCAUAGAGAAGUUGGAAUACAGUAGGUUUAAUACCAAUAUGAAUAAAGAAUGAGUUCAUUACAGUAACUUAAAGUCGUGGUUUGUUUUCUUUUGCUAACGGAGCUCAUGAGAUUUUCUGUUGAGUUUUGUGUUGUGAAGUUUUCAAGUUUUUGGGUAAAGAUUUGAUGGAUUAUGGAAUAAGGAGUGGAAAGAGCCUAAUCUUGCGGAUGCCCAAGGCACCCCAAGGUAAAAUUCAAGGACAACCAAAAGCCUAAGCUUGGGGAUGCCCCAGAAGGCAUCCCCUCUUUCGUCUUCGUCCAUCGGUAACUUUACUUGAUGCUAUAUUUUUAUUCACCACAUGAUAUGUGUUUUGCUUGGAGCGUCUUGUAUGAUUUGAGUCUUUACUUUUUAGUUUACCACAAUCAUCCUUGCUAUACACACCUUUUGGGAGAGACACACAUGAAUCGGAAUUUAUUAGAAUACUCUAUGUGCUUCACUUAUAUCUUUUGAGCUAGAUAAUUUUGCUCUAGUACUUCACUUAUAUCUUUUUAGAGCACGACGGUGGUUUUAUUUUAUAGGAAUUAUUGAUCUCUCAUGCUUCACUUAUAUUAUUUUGAGAGUCCUUUAGAAUAGCAUGGUAAUUGCUUUGGUUAAAAUUUUAGUCCUAAUAUGAUGAGCAUCCAAGAUAGGUAUAAUAAAAACUAUCAUGUAAAGUGCAUUGAAUACUAUGAGAAGUUUGAUACUUGAUGAUUGUUUUGAGAUAUGAGGAUGGUAAUAUUAGGGUCAUGCUAGUUGAUUAGUUGUGAAUUUGAGGAAUACUUGUGUUAAAAGUUUGUGAUUCCCGUAGCAUGCACGUAUGGUGAACCGUCAUGUGAUGAAGUUGGAGCAUGAUUUAUUUAUUGAUUGUCUUCCUUAUGUGUGGAGGUCAGGAUCGCGCGAUGGUUAACUCCUACCAACCCUUCCCCUACGAGCAUGCGCGCAGUACUUUGUUUUGAUAACUUGUAUAUUUUUGCAAUAAGUAUGUGAGUUCGUCAUGACUAAUGUUGAGUCCAUGGAUUAUACGCACUCUCACCCUUCCACCAUUGCUAGCCUCUCUUGUGCUGCGCAACUUUCGCCGGUAUCAUACACCCACCUUAUACCUUCCUCAAAACAGCCACCAUACCUACCUAUUAUGGCAUUUCCAUAGCCAUUCUGAGAUAUAUUGCUCCACCAUUGUCACGCUCCACCAUUACAUUUAUUAUGACACGCUCCACCAUUGUCAUAUUGCUUUGCAUGAUCAUGUAGUUGACAUCGUAUUUUUGGCAAAGCCACCGUCCAUAAUUCUUUCAUACAUGUCACUCUUGAUUCAUUAUCCUGGUACACCACCGGAGGCAUCCACAUAGAGUCAUAUUUUGUUCUAAGAUUCUUGAGAUGUAAGUAGAUAAAUGUGUGAUGAUCUUCAUUAUUAGAGCAUUGUCCUAUGUGAGGAAAGGAUGAUGGAAGCAAUGUUUCCCUCACAAGUUGGGAUGAGUCUCCGGACUUCAUGAAAAAUGAAAGAGGCCAAAGAAGCCCAAAUAAAAAAAGAGGCCAAAGAAUCCCACCAAAAAAAUGAGAGAAAAAGAGAGAAGGGACAAUGUUACUACCCUUUUACCACACUUGUACUUCGAAGUAGCACCAUGAUUUCAUGAUAGAGAGUCUCCUAUGUUGUCACCUUCAUAUGCUAGUGGGAAUUUUUCACUAUAGAACUUGGCUUGUAUAUUCCAAUGAUGGGCUUCCUCAAAUUUCCCUAGGUCUUCGUGAGCAAGCAAGUUGGAUGCACACCCACUUAGUUUCUUUUGAUGAGCUUUCAUAUACUUAUAGCUCUAGUACAUCCGUUGCAUGGCAAUCCCUACUCACUCACAUUGAUAUCUAUUAAUGGGUAUCUCCAUAGCCCGUUGAUACGCCUAGUUGAUGUGAGGCUAUCUUCUCCUUUUUUGUCUUAUCCACAACCACUAUCCUAUUCCACCUAUAGUGCUAUGUCCAUGGCUCAUGCUCAUGUAUUGCGUGCAGAUUGAAAAAGUUUGAGAAUACUAAAGUAUGAAACAAUUGCUUGGUUAAAACCGGGGUUGUGCAUGAUUUAAAUAUUUUGUGUGAUGAAGAUAGAGCAUAGCCAGACUAUAUGAUAUUUGUAGGGAUAACUUUCUUUGGCCAUGUUAUUUUGAGAAGACAUGAUUACUUUGUUAGUAUGCUUGAAGUAUUAUUACUCUUAUGUCAAUAUUAAACUUUUGUAUUGAAUCUUUCGGAUCUGAACAUUCAUGCCACAAUAAAGAAAAUUACAUUGAGAAUUAUGCUAGGUAGCAUUCCACAUAAAAAAAA
RNAcentral lists this long non-coding RNA (67673 nucleotides) under Triticum aestivum (bread wheat). RNAcentral describes it as "long non-coding RNA (TAES_LNC027167)". Lineage: Eukaryota; Viridiplantae; Streptophyta; Magnoliopsida; Poales; Poaceae. The record is from RNAcentral.